CCCCCCCUACCUGAUAGCUACUCCUGAUCGGAUUCAGGCUAGGUCACAGCCCUCCUCUGAAACUCAGGUACUUAGUUUCUGCUCCCUGCCGCUUGCUCCUCUGUUCCCUGGUUCCUUACCUUCUUGGUCCCGUUCUGCUCUGGGUUUGCGAGGGGUGCCUGCUUUCUCUGUGCUCCGACGAUGGAUGAACAGAGGAUUCGAUGAGCAGCCAUGGGCUUUCCCCCCUGGGGUUUGGUCUUCUUGGUCAGGUUAGAAGGAGAAAGCCCCAACCUUUCUUGCAGGAACCUUACCAGUUCUGAAAGGUUUCAGAGGGUUCUUCAGUUUCGUUUUGUUACUCAUCUUGUUCGAUUUAACUUGGGUAUCCAUUCUUGUUCAAUUUGACCAAGUACUUGUCUGAAUACGAUUUUCUAGAGACUGUCACCAAAAGAAAGUUCAUUCAUUUUCUCAUGGUUACUAGUAAAUUUUUGCUGUAGAUUUUCAGAAUCAGAAAUACUAUGACUGCUUGUUUACUUCAAAAGAAGAUUUUGCUUUUUUACUCUAGGCAUAGUAUCAGAGUUUCAGAGAGAUUCAGGACGAGGCUCUAAACUUGCUUCAUCUGUAAUUAUUUUUUCUACGCCGUGAUCAACGCAUGUUGCACCAUCACGUGGACUCAUUAUUCUUUUGCAGUUUUAUAAACAACACAUACUAGCUAAUCUAUUCCCCCUUCGUUUUCCUUGUGAUAUAAGCAAGCGGACCUGAAUACGAAUUGAUCUCUGCGGUGCAACCCCGUUAGUUGAAGCCAUGGGGUCUGGGGACUGGUUCAAGACGAUCAUCAGCAAGAAAAAAUCGAAACGGGCAAAGUCAAAGCACGCAAAGGUACACUCCAUUCCUCCUUCCUUUCUUUGCCAGCUUCGAGAAAGAAAGAAAAAAAAAGGAUAGCCUUUCUAAACCAUUUUCCAAGCCCCUACUGUCCUGGAUGUCCUGUACACCAGCUUGCCUUGCAUGCCUUCCAAGCAACCUGAAAAGUGAUGCCAUUCAUUCCAUUCCAUCAUUUGGAAUGGCCAGGACAAGUGGACAUACUAUCAUCUGAGCCAACUAGGCGUGCUGUUGCUGUGCUUGUGCUAAUCAUAAUUAGAAAGUUGGCUGUAAGGAAAGCUUGGUUUGUUGGUAGCAAUAAUGGAAGGUUACUGAUGCUGACUUGUUAGAGUUAGGUGCUACCUUCAGGAUAAGACCUUUCUGCAUAUAUGGAAGUACUUGGUUGCUCCUAAUUGGGCCCAUCAAAUCAAUUGACAGCAGAAAAUUAUAAAUCGUCUACUUGAAUAAUGACUAAUUGUAUAUGAUAAUAUCAAAGAAUUCUUUUUCCUUGAGUAGUUGAGGCAAUGUCAUAGCCCAUGGUUACUUCUUUUAUCUUGUAUUGCUUUAGGAUGUGAUGAUCUGGCUUUUGACAACGUUUUUUUUGUUUUAUUCAGUUGCUGAAAUUCAGUAAGAUGUGUUAGCUUAAAGUCUCACUUUGAAUUUGAAUCGGCCAUUUGGAAUAAUUUGACUAUUGAAUCGAUCUGUAUGACAUUUCGAAUUGUCAUUUCUUCCUGCAUUAAUAUUUUUGAGAUAUGAAAUUUUACUUGGGUAAUGAUUAAAUUAAUUGGAUAUGUAAAUUUAUUUUUUCUUUGAAUAGUUGAGUUGUUUACUAGUUAUGUCACGAUUUCUUGUUUUCUUCUGCAUAGCUUUGUGUGGUCUGUGUGGCACCCUAUAAGAAAUCGUGUUUAUCUUUUAUUAGGAAUCUCUACAGUUUUUGUUUGGUUCAAAUUUCAAAUACCAAAGUUCACUAUUUACUAGUCCUAGUUGACACGAUGGUGCUUUUUUUUGGCUGGGGUUUUGAAGUACCUAAGAAUUAUAUGCACCCAUAGCUUAAUUAACUGACAAAUAUUGUUCAGUGUUUUGAGAGAAUAUUGUACCAAUGAUUAUUAACUUCCAGCCGUUUUCAUAUAUUUCCUUUUGCCAAUGAAGCUCUCUGGUCAAGUAACAAAUGGAAGCAACCAGACAAAUCAGAAGUUAAAUGGCCCUUCUUCCAGUAGUGACGACCAUGAAGACAAUGCAGCACUAGAGGAAUGGGCUGCUACUCGCAUUCAGAAUGCAUUCCGGAAAUACAGGGUAACAUGAAUCAUGGCUGAUAUGGAUUGCACUACCGCUACAUUGGCUACUGAAUUGAGAUAUUUUGCAAACAAAUGGUUUACCUUUUCUAAUACUGCUCAUCGCUUACAUGCAGGCAAGGAAGACCCUGCGUUGUCUCAGGGGAGUCAAAAGAUUGCGUGUUGUCGGUCAGGCGAAUCCGGUUAAGAAGCAGACUGCUGCCACACUGAGUUACAUACAGUCUUGGAACAAGUUGCAGUCAGAGAUAAGAAACCGGCGUGCUUUCAUGGUCACCGAAGGGCGCAACAGGAAGAAGAAGCAGGAGAACCAAAUGAAACUUGAGGCAAAACUCCAUAAUUUGCAGGUGAGUUUAAGUUUUAAGCCCAAGAGCCAUUUUCCUUGUAAAAUUUUUUUUGCUCACCCUUUCAUCAAGUAACUAUACUAUAGAACUAAUUAUUUUUAUCUGAUGACAUUGCAUUAUUUUGUUUGUUUCCAUCUUUUAUUAGGUUGAAUGGAAUGGAGGUUCGGAUACUAUGGAUGAAAUACUUGCUAGGAUACAACAACGAGAAGAAGCAGCAGUGAAGCGUGAGCGAGCCAUGGCGUACGCGUUCAACCAUCAGGUUUAAAUUUACUAAUUCAGUAAUUCUGAUGUUGUAACUCAUUCUAUUAUAGAAAACCACAUUUAAGAUUCAAAUUACUAUAUAAUAAUCAAAUUUCCAUUCAAAAUGUAGACACAUGGCUUAACUCUGAACCCAAUCAUAAUUUGUUAAGAGAAUAGCAGCAUUAUGAGUGCACCUAACAGUGUGAAGACAAUGAUGUACAUCACCCUUUGGCAGUGGAGAGCAAGGUCUGCCACAAGUCUAGGAAACUUCAGCUACGAAGUCGGCAAAGGUGGCUGGGGCUGGAGCUGGAUGGACCGCUGGAUCGCAGCACGACCAUGGGAGCCGCGAUCCUUGGUCCACCCUGAGAACCCAAAGAAAGCACAGGCAAAGAAAGAGAACAGCGCAAACCCAUCAGCUCUCAAGCUGCAAGGCUCUAUUACCCUAAGCAACAAUAUCAAUGACCGGAAAACGCCUAAAAAGAAGCCAUUGCCUUCACCUUCUCCUACUGAUCAGAAGAAGCCAUCACCAUCGCCUUCUUCUGAUCAGAAGAAACCGGUACCGAAGGAGCAGAGAGCAAAGGCAGCUGGCACUCCUCCAAAACCAAAGGCCAAGGAUAUGAAGGGUAGCCAAGAGAAAAAGCCGCAGCAGAAAGUGGCUCCUUCGGUCAGCGCAUGAAGCUUGCUGCUGCGAAAAUGGUUACUGAUCAUGUAAGAUACAUCUUGUGAAGUUCUCUCGUGUUUAUCACUCAUACUUGUAUGUCUUCGCUUUUGUGUUUACGGUGAUAUGGGACCAGGAGUGUCCAAUCUAGAAUGUGCUUGGUUUGAGCGGUUGCGCACAUACAACAUAUCUGAUGAGAAAUGUUUUGGUUAGGACUUUAGGAUCUCUGUUAUUCAUUGUUGUGCUGUUGUAAUAAGACUUGCCUGGCUAUCUGCUUGAAUGGAAGGUCUUGUUGGAACAAAAUGUAAGCUCGUUCUCUGUCCAUAACAUUAGGAUCAAAUGGCAAAUCAGUCAUGUAUGUUUCAUAACUAUUUAUUCGAUCCAAAUUUGGAUUAAAUUCAAAUUUCAUGCAGAUAACUCUGUUUCCCGUAUCUCUAACAAGUUCAAAGUUUUCCCGCUGAACACUGCUUCGGUUGCAACAGCAGCUCCUGCAUUUCCUCUCUGAAACCAGCCAGCGCCGUGCGCUGCAGCGCGAUGAACACCUUGAACCCUCCCCGCCGCCGCUCAUCCCCCGCGCCGUAGGGCAGCAGGAAGCAGGGCUCCGUGCUCCCGAGGAUCCUCCACGAGAGCGGCAGCACGGAGUCGGGGCCGCCCCACCCGAAGUCCACCUCCCCAUGGCCGAGCCGCCGCCAGUCCGUGAACGCACUCACGGCUCCCGCCGUGACCCCAUCGUGGCGGUGCAGCUCCUGGAAGUCGACGUAGGAUCGCACGUACUCGUCGUCCACGGCCUGCUUGCUCUUCUUUAUCAGGGCGGCGGUUGCCGCCAGUGGCUGGGCGACGAGGUCGCAGGCGGCCAGGGUGACGUAGACAGGGACGCACACGUUGCCCCAGUACCCGUCGGGGAGCGGCGGGUCGACGAGCUUGCUGAUGUUCAUGGAGUACACCAUCUUCACCACCUCGCCGGAGCUGGUCCCGUUUGCCUUGACCCUGGUCGCCGAUCCACGAGCACGGUGAGCAUCUUGCUUUGAUCUGAAUUCUCCGACAGGUAGGGGAGGAGUGCUUACCUGGCGCGCCAGAUGAACGCUGCGACAACCUCGAAGGUCGUGAGCUUGACGCCAGCCUCGUCGGCGAUCCGCGCUCUCAGCGCCUCCACGCGCGCGUUGCUCACGUGGAAGCAUUCCCUCGUCAGCUGCCGCUGCUGUUCGCGCCAUUCCCGCACGGCUCCGUACGGCCCACACCGGGCGACGCCGCCGUCGAGCGCGAGGACGCGGUCGAACACCAGCGUCGCGACGCGCGGCGGGCGCCUCGGGCCCAGCAGCUCCCGCCGGUCCCACACAGGCGCCACCUCCGGCAUCCCCUGCCCCCGCGCGAACCGCGCCGCGGCGGCGAGGAACUUGGUGGCGCCCGCGCCGUCGCAGAGGGCGUGCGCGACCCGCAUCCCGAGCGCGACGCCGCCGCACGCGAACCGCGUGGCCUGGAGCGCGAGCACCGGGGUAUCCGCGUCGCCGUCCCCCGGCGGCGCGAGGUGGUCGAGCAGCGCCGAGCCGGGGCAGUCGGUGUCGACGUCGGCCGCGGACAGACCGGACUCCGCGAGGACGACGGGCACGGCGGCAGCGCCGACCACAACGUGGCCGUCGCGGACGCGGAGGCGGCCCGCGAGCGCCGGGAAGAGACCGAGCGCGGCCUCGAACGCGGGCGGGAGGACCGCGUGGGGGUCGAUGGACGGCGGGGGAGGUGGGAAGAAGCGGAGCGUGCGGAAGGUGACGUGGAGCGCGUUGCGGUCGGCGUCGAGGCCGGAGAGCGGGAGGGCCGCCGCGUGCUGCGCCGGGGCGGGUGGCGGCGACAGGCGCACGGUGUCCAGAAUUCGUAGUCGCAGCUGCUGUGGCUCCAUGGGAUUGGGAGGAGCGCGCGUGAGCCGCCGUUCGAGCUGGAGAGCAACUGCGUCAGUGGCUCAGUGCAGCGAGACACAGACUGACGAGUGCUGUAUUGUUCGGCGGCCGUGUGAGAGUUGGAUUGUGCGCCGCGGCGACGAAGACGACAACGAGCAGCAGGAGCUGUCGAUGUUUAAAGCUGUCAAAACAUGGAGGAAGUAGGUGCGGCAUGGCGGAUUGGCAAGAGCUCCGGCGAGGGGUUGGUGGAAUGUUUUGCGGUUUCAAGGGAGAAGCGACGUGGGAGCACAAGCGCCAGUAGUCCAACAGCACUGGCGGCCCUCAAGCAAUUCGACCAUGCGUUCGCUGUCUCCUCGGUCUCGUUACAGCGUCGAAGGAAAAAAAAGAGUAAGGAUGGAGACGGUGCUAUGUAUAUGCUGUUUUUCUCUAGUGUAAUUAAAUGAGUUAAGUAAAAAAAAAUAAAAAAAAUGUCUAACAAAAAGGAAAAAAUUAGCUAUUUGGUUCAUUAAAUUACAUUAGAGAAGAGCUCUUUUUGAUGGAAGAAGGAUGUUCUUAAGUGGUUUAAUUCAUUCAAGGGCAUGGCCUCAGUCACAACUGAUGAUGGCUCAUGCAGCCUGUCUCUUCUGAUUAGAUGUUUGGCAUGGCAUGGUACAUAUUGACCAGAAUUGUUCUCAUUUGUUAGGCACACGUUGGUACAGCAGUUCCUAGCUACCGAAGAUAAGUCUGUUUUUUCCCCCGUGUCCCUCUUUCAGUUGAAGCCCAUGAUAAGUACCAGUUGUUGAUCACUGAGUUAGAAGGAAUCCAUCCUAGUCACAGUAAAGACACAUGGGGUUAUAUCUGGGGAUUCAAUGCUCACACUUGUUGGGUUCUAUCACAGUGUCACCUGCUUACAAUUGGCUCUAGCAUUCGAGUUGUCUGCCAAAGAGAAAGGUCUUUUGGUUAGCAAUCAAGGACCAUGGGAGCUUUUGAAAAGGAAGAAUAUGAAAUUACCCAGCUAUAGUUGUGUGCUGUCAUCAGGAUAUAGAGGAAUCUCUACAUCAUCUAUUCCUAGAUUGUCCUUUUGCCGUGUCGUGUUGGAAUAUGCUUGGGUUAGCACAUUUUAUUCGAGGCAAUUUGCUAAAUACAAUUCUUUAGUUCAAAAAUCAAAUUCACAUGUCUUUCUUUAUGGAGAUAAUUGUGGCAAUGUUUUAUCCUAUUUGGUCUGCUCGUAAUGAAGUCAUCUUCAAGAAUCAGCAUCAAUCUCUGUAAUCUUGCAAAAUAGUUUUUAAACAGGAGCUAGCUCAAGUUAAGCUUAGAGCUAAGAGAGAUCUAAGUCUUCGUUACAAUUAUGGCAAUUCUGUAUAAUUUUCUUUAUUUUUUCUAUGUUUUUUAGCUGUAUCAAGCAGGCUUUGUUUUUUAAAAGUUUAAUUAAGUUCAGCAGCGGGCAACCCCUCUCCCUAAAAGAAAAACUGUUUGCCGUGGCGUGAUCUGAGCCGUCCAGUCACCCAAUCGAGCGGUCGCGAUCGAAGAGCGAGGUGUUAGCAAACGGAAACCGAAACAACGGCUCCCCAUCGCAAACGCUCUCCCUCCACUCGUCCCGUCGUCCGCUCCGGCCGCGCCCCACGCCGAUGCCGCCCCCGCCGCCGCUCCACCUCCGCCUCCGUCUCUCCCUCGUCCCGCCCCACCCUAUCUCUCCUUCUCUCCGCCAUGCCUCCCGCUCACCCUCCAUCGCGUCCUGCCCUCUCGCGGUGCGCCCCUUCGCCCAACGCCGCGGUGGGCGCCCGCUCUGCGCCGUGCGGGGCGGGGCCGAGGCCGAGGCGGAGGGCUUCGCGUGGCCGGAUGGGUCCGAGGAGGAGGAGCUGCGGCGGCUCCUGGAGCUGCUCCCUAGGGAACUGAGGCGGCGGGUGGAGACCCACCCGGAGCUCCCUGCGCUCGUGGAGGUGGUCAUGGACCUCGGCCGGCCCCCGCUCGCGCGCUUCCCGUCAGGAGACUUCCUCCUCUCCCACCGCCCCAUCUCCUUUGACGACCUCCGACAUGCCACCUCCCAGGUCCAGCCCAAAGCCCCAAACCAAGCGUGGCGAGUUAAUUUGCUUUAGAGUGACAAUGAGCUUUGUGCUAGGUUGGGGACUUUGGAGCGGAUAAUCGUGCUGGAAUCAGCCGGACGCUGCACCGGAUCAGCGCGAUUAGGAACCGGAAGGGCGUCAUUGUAGGCCUCACUUGCCGUGUCGGGCGUGCAGUGCCCGGGAGCGCUAAUUUGCUUCAGGACUUGGUUAAGGAUGGUGGCUCGUUGCUGCUCAUCGGCCCACCUGGGGUGGGGAAGACUACUGUCAUAAGGUAGGAUUGGGCUGACAAACUGGAUUUCGAUGCUGAUUGAGUAGUUGCGCGAUUGAGAAAUGUACACCAGCAACGAUCACAGAUGUUUUAUGUGACAGAGUACCAGACUACCAGUAUCUGCCCAUUUUAGCAUCAUGUUUUUGUCUUGUCAUGCAGAGAAAUUGCCCGUAUGUUAGCUGAUGACUAUAAGAAGCGGGUGAUGAUUGUCGACACAUCUAAUGAGAUUGGUGGGGAUGGUGAUAUUCCUCACCCAGGAAUAGGCAAUGCACGUAGGUUGCAAGUGCCUAACCAAGACAUGCAGCAUAAGGUCUGUCUGCUUUGUCCAUAUGGAGUAUAAAUAAUACAGUAGGCCUAUAAUUAGUAUUGUUCUUAGCUGUGCUUCCAGUCAAGUAAGUUAUAUAUUCCGUAUUGUAUGUGCCAUAGUGUAACUCAAAAGUCACUGGACCAAUUUAUUUGUGCAUUAGACACUGGCGUACUUUUUAGUUCAAAACUUGGUGUGUGUGCUGAUUCGUUUAUUCAAUAUCAAUCAGGUACUGAUAGAAGCUGUGGAAAACCAUAUGCCUCAGGCAAUUGUUAUUGAUGAAAUUGGAACGAAACUAGAGGCCAUGGCUGCAAGCACCAUUGCACAGAGGGGCAUACAGCUUGUUGCAACUGCCCAUGGUGUAACGAUAGAGAAUCUGAUCAUGAACCCCUCACUAGAGAUGCUUGUGGGAGGAAUACAGGUAAGGAUAUUCUGCAUCAUCCUAUUUCCCAAAAUAUUGUCUUUGGGAAAAUGACAUAGUGUACCUCUAUAACUUCAUUACCUGACUCGAUUAUUGACUUGGAAAUCUUUCAGAAAUCCAUUCAGAGAUAUAGUUUGCUGUUUCCUGGCUCUUGCAGCUUGAAAUGUAGCACAUCGAAUUAUUCAAUCAACACAUUGCCUGUAACAAUUCCAUGAUCCAAUAUAAGAGAUGAACACAUGGCAAGAUUGUUAUUAAUGGGUGUAUCACUGCUUUCUUGAUGACAAGAAAGUUUUCAGAAAUAGUUGCUGACUAGAAAUGGAAUAGGUAAAAAAUAUUGAGAGAAAAUUGACUUUAUUCGUAAACUAAGUUGUGUGCCUUGUGUACUCAUCAUUGAUCAUGACAUAGGCCAUGUACGGAUUUAUCUGUACUGUGUCUGAGUACAUGUGACUUUUCAGUUCUUAAAGUCUGCUUGCUGAAGUUUUUUUCUAUGCUUCCCAAAGGAAGACUUCAUAUAGAGAAAAAAAACUGUCAAAUGGUUGAGUGCAACCUAGCAACUAAUUGUUAUAGCCUAAGUGUAGCUUUCUUCUCAGAAAGCACAGAAGCACCUUAUGUGCAGUUUUUGUGUUACUCUUUACUUUUUGGUCAAAAGGAAAAACGAAGAUUUCUAAUCAUGCCCUUUCUUAUCUAAAAGAGUGUCACACUUGGUGAUGAAGAAGCUAACCGGAGAGGAGUUCAAAAAACUGUCCUAGAGCGCAAGGGCCCAUCAACAUUUACAUGUGCUGCAGAGAUCGUCUCGAAAAAAGAAUUACGUGUCCAUCGUAGUCUGGAAGCCACAGUAGAUGCUCUACUCGCAGGUUCUCACCGAUUUCUCUAUUACUUAGCUGCAUUGUCAUGUUAAAUUUAAUGCUGUUUUUUAUGAUAUUGAACAUGGAAAUGUGUAGAUCUGAUGUCACAAUGAUUCAUCUUGCACUUUUGUUGGUGCAGGCAAGCUGCCUAAUGUUGAAAUUCGGAAGUUGGGUUCAAAGGGAUUGAUGCAGGAAGUUUCUGUGCAAAAGGAACGAUCACAUCUUGGUAUCUCUGAUGCAACUGAAUUUGACCGUGACUCUCUAAGGAAUGCCAGAAGAAGCUUGGACUCUGCAUUUAAUCUUGACUCUGCUGAAGGGCAUAUAGAGAGGACAGACGGAGAUGGUUCAAGCUUGAAUCUAUAUGCAUAUGGGGUACGGAUGUCUUCAUAGCUCAUUCUUUUGAUCCCUAGUUUUCUGAGCAGUGCGCCCCUUUACAUCAGUAUGUAGUUCUCUGCACAGCGAUUUUGUAUACUGAGUGUGGCAAAGUGCUACCCACUCCCCCCUUACUAUAGUUGCAUCAUUUGAUAUGAACUAUUAGGGUAUGGUAGGUAUGUUGGUUAUAUAAAACCGAACUAUUAAGGUACGGUAGGUAUCUACCACUCAAAAGUAUGCUUAUCUGGUCAGUUACUUCAAGGCCUGAAUGAUAUUGAUCUUUGCUGUUUGUUAUGUGUAGUAGCACUAUUAGGGUAAGGUAGGUAUGUUCCACUGAAAAGGAUGCUGAACUGGUGAGUUGCCCAUAAGCCUCUAUGAAAUUUAAUCAUCCCUGAACCCUGAUAAUUUUUUUUUCUGGAGUGGUGCGGGAAGCCAAGUUGUCUUGUGACUUACUUAAUCUGCACGCCUACAUUUAAAAUUUGUGAUUCCUUUUAUUUGGGUGCACAGAUUGCAAUACCUAAUUCAGUAACUUACUAUAAUCUGUAUGCCUAUGUUUGUUUGGAUAACUGCUCCUGUCACUGCAACAAUAGUGGUUAUACCAUUUGGUCGCUGAGUUUUGUUCUAAAGUUCUUUUGUUAAAUUUUCCGAACUUAGUUUGUAACUUAUUGGAUAGGCUGUUCUAGAUCUCCGAGUCGACUGCCUUGCAAGCCAUUCAACAGCUGGAGUUGGAGGACAUUGUUACUUUAACUUAUAAUAUCAGUGAAGCUGAUGCAGUGAUCGCGUUACAUUCAAAGCUCAAGAAGAAUUCUCAGAUUCAGGCUUUGGUGAAAUCUCAAGAUAUACCGGUUUUCUUCGUGAAGGUUUGCCUUGCACAGUUGCCAUUUACAGGACACUUUUAAUAUUCAUGUUCCAGGAAUUCUUAUUCAGUAUAUUGGUUCUCUGUUCUUCACAGACAAACUCCCUGUCUCAAAUCACUCGGGCACUUCGUGCUCUUGUUGACGAUCACAUGGACGAGCUGAUAGACUACGAUGAUAAGGAAGAAGCAAGAUCUCCCGAGGAAACUGAUGCUCUGGAGGUACGCUAUCAUCUCUGCACAUCUAAACUCCUUUUUCGGCGGCCGUAACAUCGUUACUCGUCCUGAACAAAAGUAUCCAAUGGUUGUUCCCCGAUGUUUAGGAGGCAAGGCUGGCAAUCGAGCAAGUAGUGAUCCCGAAAGGCGAGAGCGUGCAGCUACUGCCGAGGCCAUCAAGCAUCAUCUCAUCCCAAGUGGAUCUCGUCGAAAGCUUCAGCCUCCAGUGGGAGGUCAUAGGCCAGGAGCCUCACGCGUACGUGACGAUCCUUCCGCACUUCGCGCCAAAAGAAGCUGAAGCUAUCCAGAAAGAAACCCCAGCGGCGGGGCUCGCCGAUUCAGAGAGCUCCGAUGACUUGGAUCAUGCCCAGAAUGGCAUCACCAGGCUACCUUUCCUACCCGAUUAGGCGCCUGGCGUAUCCUUUCAGUUCUUCGUGCCCCUGCCGUUGUACCUGCAUGUAUAUAUUCCAUUUAUUUACUAUCUUGGUAGUAACUUUUACCAGGAAGCACCUGCGAGGUUGCGUCUACGAAAGUGGAUAUAGUGCUCUUCUAUGCAUACGGUAUCUAUGCUCUGUUGUGGACUACAGUCAUAUUCAUGGAUGUCUGUUUCACCUUUUUUACAUGCUCUGCCAAUUCCCAAAGUACAUAUCCGUUGUAAUCUACCGAACAAGAUAAGCAAGCAUAAUCCGAUCUUUUUUUUUAAACGAACCCGCAGAAGAACUCACUGAAAUAUUAAAAAAAAAAGAUGACAGACAAUGUACAACCUCAGACAAAAGAUUCUAUACGUCACUAAGCUACAAAAGUAAAACGCCUCCCAAGGGAGACGGAUCAAAACUUGGAAAAUGGCCGCUCGAUGAACGUAGAAAGGUGUUUUGCCUGCCAUGAUCCACAAUGAUGCCUCGUCUUUGAUUUUCUAAAGUACCACAAAGUUUGUGGACUCGUGCUAAAAAACUCUUGCAUUUUUUUCUUCCAUAUUUCCCAGCAAACUAGUAUGAUUAGUGAGCAAAGGUCUUUUCUACUCACACCCGGGCGCAUUUGAUAUUGUCGUCCACCAUUUCUCAAGUGUCUCACUAGGUGGCCAUGCACUCAGGUGCAAGCCGUAGAUUUGUGUCCAGGCGACGAUUUUCUUCCAUAAGCACUUCGCGAACCUGCAAUCCAUGAAAAGCAGGCAUCAUGUCUCUGCCUACCUAGUGUGCAGGUUCCUUGGUUCGGCCAUUUUCGACCUUAUAAUCUGUCGGCAGUUCAAAUUCGAUUGUGAAUCGCAAGCCAGCUGAAGAAUUUACACCACCUCCGACCAUUACAUUUCUGCCGUUAACUACUAGUGGUUGAAAGGCUCCAUUCUUGUACCAGGUCAGUAGGUGCACUCGUCGUGCGUGCAUGCCCCGUCCUGGUUCUAUAUAUAAAACAUAGUACUCCGUACGUACAGCAUUUUGUGGGUUCCACGUAACAUGUUGGCUGCUAGCGACUUGAAAACAGCAGAUGCGCGCGCUUUGCUUGCUUGACUCCUGGCUGCAUCCAGACAUCAUCAUCAGUUUGAAGCGCCGGCUGAAGCUUCCCGCAUCACGUUCCGGAACGGCGCGGCGCGCGCAGCUCUCCUCGGUACGUCCUCGCUACCCGCCGCGUCCGGCCGGCUGCUCGGCGCCCUCGAGAGGCGAUGAGAUGCAUGAUGCCCGUACGAGCAGCCAUGACCAAAAGCUGCCAAUGGCGGGCGACGUUGGUGGCCGCCUGACCCGACGUGUGGUGACGCGCAUUGGAUCGGAGGAUGAUGCAUGGUAGUUGAGCAUAAGACGACGACGACCAUGGAGUAGAUCGAGGAGCCACGCAUGCGUAGGGGCCAUGGUGGGCCUUUGCCGGCCGCCAUAUAUAUUUGCUCCGUCGUCCGGCGAAUAGGGAUGUGAUGAUAUGCAGAUGCAUCUGUGGAAACUGACACGGAUUGCGGCCUAGUGAAGCCAUCGUGCGUGCAUGAACCAAUGUACAAUAAUAAAAUGGUGCAGGGAGAAGGUAGAAAUGCAUGUAGAGGAGGCGACGAUGAUCUAGCUACUAAUAGCCCAAUUUGUUAGUUUCUGUUGCUCGGCGAACGCCGGUAGAAACGUAAAAGUGCUUCUUUUCCAAAGGUGGGUUCGUUCUAGAUCGAAAGGCAAUGCCAAAAUUAAUGCUGACGUUUGUUAAGGGUUUCUUUGGUAGAGAUUCGGUCUACUAGGAAUCUUCUGAUAUAUAUGUUGUGCAUGUACGGUAACGACACUGGUUUUCCUCCUUUCUCUCUCUCACUGCACAAGGCGGAGCUCCUUGGCGUUAGUGAGAGAGGGAGAGGAGAGAGAAAAGAGGAUUCUAGCUACAGUAUAUGUACAUGUUAAAUUGAAGAUCAAUAUCAUUAGAUGAUCUAGCCUAGUCAAUAGAUCACAUCAAGUAUAUACAAUAAAUUAUAGACCUUGAUGUUCCAUCAUCGGUGGUGGAUCGAGUAGGGACGUCUAGAUGAGGUUGAUGUGGUUAUUCGGAGUUCGGAUAGCGUCGGCCUUUAGGACGCCAACAACACUGAUCAAUCACCUUGACCGAUGCCGGAGUUGGGGAAGAAGGGCGGCGGCCUUCGGGUCGAUCCAGCGCGCUCUUUAGAUUAGAAUGAGGAAGUGUUGGGGAACUGUUUCUCUGUUGUGUCAUAACUCAAAAAGAAGUCGAGUCCCCCUUUUUAUAUAGCGUUGUUUGACUCGGGGCCACAACCAUUGAUUGGUUUGGACGCUACCGAUUAUCGUGCAUACAUGGGAUUCCCUCACGAGCCUCUGACUAACUCGGUCAAGGGAAACGGUCUUUGAUCCUGUACUCCUUCGUAACGGCUCGAACAAGAGAUCACAUAUAUCCCUUAGUUUCCAACAGUACAGUGUCAGAUGUGGAGCCGGUGGAAUCCUUAUCAAAGGAACCUAAGGAGUUUAAUGGUGGAGGUGUAGUACGUGGAGAGCUCUUGUGUUACUGGUUAGCAAAUGAUCGUAGAGCAGGGCCACAAAUAAAGUUCUUAUCUCCAGAUUACGGCGCCGUUAAUUCGCGCGAGGUGAUCUCCGAUCGCGCGACGAGGAACUUUCCAACCGAUUGCUCGAUCGUGCGUGCGCGUGUGUAAGAGCAUCUCCAAUUGUUUGGAAAAAUUGACUUGGUAAAAUUUGUCAUUUGGCAACUUGCUAAACCUUUUGGCAAGUGAAUUUUCUUUGUAUCUCCAAUAGUUUGCUAAAUUGGGCUUGGUAAACACAGAAAAAUAGGCCCACAUAUACAUGUCCAACAAAAAUUUUUACGAUACCUGUCCUGCCGCGAGUCGCGGCGUCCCCGAUCGAGACCUCAUCGAACAUCUGUGGAACCAUCGUCCAGAUUUAUACUCGUACAAUAUAUGAUAUAGUUAUCCAUAUAUUUAAAUUUAUAUUUCAUCCAUACAUACAUCCAAUCACCAGCAGCAGAACCAGUCGCCAGCAGUAGCAGCACAAUCAAUCGCCAGCGGCAGCAGAACCAUGCAGCAGAACCAUCAAUUGCCAGCAGCAGCACAAUCGAUCGCCAGCAGCAGCAGAACCAAUCACCAGCAGCGGAACCAUGCAGCAGCAUUUCAGCAUCAUCCGCGCCCGGGAUUCCAAGCGACGCCGAGUGCGGAUACAUCCGCGCGCGACUCCGACGUUUUCCAAGUUGCAAAAAUAUAGCAAGUCCUAUUCCAAUCUAUUGGAGAAGGAUUUUUCUUCUUUUUCCAAAUAAACAAGGAUAACAAAUCAUUUUUCCAAACAAUUGGAGAUGCUCUAACGCUGGUUAUUCUCCACGAAUGAAAUCUGGCAAUCAGCAACGGUUUUUCUUCCUUUCCACACUUAGCAACUAAAUGCAUGGCUGACUGGCCUCUAUCAGGAAGCUAUAGCUGGCUGGACCAGUCAUAUAUAUAUCGUCCACUUGGAGAGCAUCAUCAAAAUCAAAUCAAAAUGUAAAUACGCAAAAGAAUCCGCUGAAAGUUCUGAUACAGAUUCCAGAGUGGUGUAAAAGGAAAUGAGAACUUACAUGCAACAUGGCUUAAACUAGGUCAUCACUGCGCUGUCCUCGAUCUCAAAAAGGUUUCAAUUUUUUCUCUCUGAGCUCACUAUCUAUCGUGACAGUGCGGCACAGAGGGGACCUCCACCUCCACCAUUGUAUUUUGCUAUUGCAUGCAGCAAUAACUAACCACCAGGCACCAGCUCAAGGCGUGCAACGGCAAUCUGCACCUGCGAAGACCUGCCUAUAAAUUCUCCAUCGGUAUCGUGUAACUACCACAACAAGCAAUCGAAUCGAUCGAAGCUAGCUGCCACACAGCCCACAAAGCUAGCUAUAGAUAGCUACUCCCACAUUCUAGGAUUCCACGAGGACGACGACGUCGGCGACCGACCGACGACCCACCGAGCCGGCCGAAGCUCCCGAUCGAUCGAGCUGCAAUGGCGUCCAUCACCAACUUGAAUACGCUGAUGAAGGUGCUGCUCUGCGCCGUGCUCCUCCUGUCCACGACCGUCGUCGUCGCCCACAGCCACAGAGAGCCUGACUGUCGUCGCCUCGUCGCAGGCAGCCACAGCAAGCCUGACUGUAGUCGUCGCCUCGCGGUCGCGGUGGUGGUGACCACGGGCGGCCGGAGAAUGCUGGGCGCCGCGGCUUACUUCGAGUCCAAGAGGGCGAGCCCCAGCGGGCCUGAUCCUCAACACCAUUAACGACGCCAUUUUAACCCUAGCUCUUGCGCCUUGCAGCUACGUACGGAUGACGAGGAUCUGCAACAGAGUUUGAUUUACGUUCGUAAACCCUGGUUUUGGCCUCAUCUUUUUCGUUUCUUGAACUUGGAUUAUGUACCUUCUUUUUACUGUACUUUGCUGUGUUUUUAUACUUUUCUUAAUAAAAUUCCUGUAGGGGCUGAGGCCCCCUCCGGUUUCUAAAAAAAAAAUCAUAUAUGUGUAGUCAUAGAGUGUGGAGUGUUGUACUGUCAAGGAAGAUCGAUUACUGAUGUCUAGUGGUGGCGACGGUCCGGUGGGGGGGGGGAAAUAAAAUGUAGGAUCCUCAGUUUGCUAAUUCUUUAAGUAUUCCAAUAAUAUUUGCACAUCAUUAGAUUCUAAGUACUUCUUGUGCUCACGACCAAUUGCAUUUCAUCCUUGAUAAUGGCACUUUGUUAGCUCUUCCGUAAAACUCCUUCAUGAACUCAUACACACCUAGGCUGGCUUCAUCUCGACUUCUCUUAUCUGACCAAUUAACAUCUUGUCUGCUUAAACACGCCGUCAUGUUGGAACUUCAGGUUGUGCAACUUAUUUGAACCAACAAGACAAUGAUUGUGAUCAAGACAACCUUUUGCACUUUUCCAAUCCCCUAUUUGCUAACACUGAACUGCAUAUGAGCAUCAUACAUGUCCAAGUAAUGUCUUUUUAUGAUGACUUGUUUCAUCGAUGUCCUUCGUUACUGUAUAGGUAUUGUACAUCUUGUAAGCAUUAUCCUCUGAAUCGAAAGCCAUACCAACUUUAGGAAUGAUCAAAGUUUCUCCAAUUUUAUCAACCUCCUUUUAUAAAAUAGAGUGACAAUUAAAGUUACAUAACCAUAAAUUCACAAUACAAAAUUUUCACAUGCCUAACAAAUGAAUUGACAUCACAUACUUGAUCUGCUUGUUGUGCCACACUGGUUCGGGUAACUCAGUGCGAUUCUACGACAACGGACGUUAACACAGGCAUGAUAAUUGUAUUCAUGUUCUCCUACACAAAAACACAUAUUUAACCGUUCUAACAACUACACCAUUGAAAAAAUAUAGUAUAUGUAUAAUGAUCUAUUUGUACCUACAGUGCAUCAUUAUAACUAUUAUUUGAGGAAUUCACUUUUGAUAAAGGAUCAUCACCAUCUAGAACAUCAAAACAAUAUCGAAGCAUAGUUUGCCUCCAAGGCACCGGUUAAUGCAAUCGAUGGCAUGCUGCCUGGAUGUCGAUUGCGCUAUUGCUUGCCGCCGCUCUCCUGUCUGAUUUUCCUUUGGUCACGCUACGCGUGACGACGGCAGCCCUGUUGCAUCACUGUGAAUGCAUCCCUUUUUCCCAUCUACGACAAUCAAAAUUGCCAAGCUGUCAUGAAGCUAGAAAAUGCGAGCCGAUGCCUGUUAAACUACGAGCCAAGGAAUCCUAUCGAGGCAUGGCCUUGUAUCAUGAUUCAUGAGUGCGGGAGGCCGAGCUAGGCGAGCAAUUUGGUUGCCCAUCCACACAUUGCCCAAUAGGGAGUAGGGACCAUCCUUACCCAAAUUUUUCCUAUUUUAGUACCUUGGCUUCACCAAUGAACUAGUUUUUUUCCUUUAACUUCACGAAGAACUUUGUCGGUGAAACUUAAAGUUAUUUUAGUGAAUUAUUUGACAAAACAAUUUUACAUGUUAAACUUUUUUAAAAAAAAUGCUCUCACAAAUCCAUGUAGGGCACACCGCAGCGAUUUAAGGGAAACAAAUAUUUUUCGCUUCACGCUACCACAGUCCCUUGCGAGAGUAUGUUUCAAUGAGCUUCACAUGUGAAGCUGAUGAAAUCAUGCCCAGGACAUGAACACACUCACCGAUAGUUCUAAGCACCGAUGCAAGGUGAAAGCUAUACUUAAUAUGAUUAUUUAGGUUUCCACCUAUAAGGCUACUACUUGGUUUAUAUGAUUAUAGAUUCACGCUACUUGGUUUGUAUAUUAUAGAUUCACGCAUACUUAAUAUGAUCAUUUAGGUUUCCACCUAUAAGCUGAUGAAAUCGUGCCAAGGACUUGUAGUGUUGUGAUGGAAGAAAAAGAUCAAGAUGUUAUCACAAUACUACAAGUCGAUAGCCUAGCACAAUUCUUUGGAUCAGAAGAGUCAGAGUCAAGGAUAACUCCUAUUCAAGAGGGGGAGGACGAUAAGGACAUCCCAACCGUGCAUGCUAGCUCAAGUAUCAAUGAUCCACCAUCUAACAUAAAAGAUACAAAUCGAGGGCCACUUACAAGAAGCUGCACCAAGAAAAUACAAGUAGGUAAAUUCAUUCCUAACUAAUUGUAAUUUCAACACUUUUAAGAAUGUUAUACUGCUUAUAUGUUCUAUCUUGAUGUUGCUUAGGUUUACACAUGAAGACAUGGGAGAGACAUGGCCUAAAGAUCAAGACACAGUGCUACAAAACAGCUCUGUCCGAAAAGAAACAAGGACGGACGACCAGACCCAAGGAAAAGUAAGAUGAUCGGACCCUAGAAAGAGACAACCAUACCUUUUGAUUCCCAACAGUUAUAAAGGUCCAUGAGGAUAUUUUGGAAAUUAAGGUUAAAGUCUAAUUCCCAAUGGAACUAGUUCCAAGUUUUUUGGACUCCCCAAUGUUGAGAUAUGUUUAGAUUAGACAAAAUAUUGAUAUAAUUUUCCAUACAAAAUUAUACCAUUCUACAACGUUUCGUGAUGCAUGCUACACAUGGCUAGAAAGCUUAUCGAGUCUACUUUCACACCCCAAACAAACAACUCAUUAUUUCAACUUCUGAAUAAAGAGUUAUGGCCAGAUUAGUGGAGACUGUUCGGGAGGGCAAGAGUCACGCGAGAGCACUUUGGAAAUCCAUCUCGUGGUGACCUUUCACAUAGCCUAUUUUUAGAAACUCUAUUUUGUUUUUAUACCUAACUAGGAGGGUUGCUCCUAGUAUAAGUACGUCCUACCUUUAAGCUAUUUGGAACCUUUGAUGAAUGAAUAAACCCCUGAUAUUGUAGCCGAGCUGUCGAGUAUCUUACUCAUACCAAGGUUUUUUUUGUUCUUCUUGGACUUAUCAAGAGAUCCUUCUAGGUUUCCCUAGUUCGUGCUCUAUAUUAUCAUAACGACUGCAUCAUUUUGUAUAGACUACUUCUGGAUUGUGGUUUUGUGGCCGUUUGAAGAUUGAGUCGAAGUCUUCGUAGUUUCGGUGUCUCUCUCUCCGUCGCUUUGUCGCAUCUAACCUUUAUCAGGUAUAAAGCUAGUUAUCCCCUUGUCCGCAACAAGUUAUCUUUGAUUCGUGACCUAUUGUCGUGAAGAUUGGGCCACCAUCAAGAAGGUUCAUUAUCAGAAGCUGGUUUAAAAAUACCCAUUUGACACAAAACAUCUUCAACCAACUCGUUAAACUGGUGGAGACGGUGAGAUUUGGAGGAGCGAGAAAACUGAGAGUCCUUUUUUUCUAGUGUAAUCAGUUGGUAUACGAUGUAUAGGCAUGUAGCUGUGUGGGCGGUGGGCUAAUUAACACAUUGUUCACAGUUGAGAUCCAACAAUGCGGGCACAAAUUUUAGCUGAUCGACUAAUUUUCUUUUAAGCACGUAUGGUGUGGCUAGAUCGAGCACAAAUGGAUGAAUCUCAAUUCAACUAUAUAACUUUGCAAGCUCUAACACACUCUAAAUGACUGGGUAUAGGAGUAUAUAUAGCCCCAACCAACUCAACUAAGCUAGCCGUUGGACGACCGUUGGGUAGCAUUUGUAGUGGGCAUGUGAUGUGUGAUAGCAUUUGUAGUUGAGCAUAAGACGACGACGUGCGAUGGAGUAGAGGAGCCACGGAUGCGUAGGGGUCAUGCAUGGCGCGGUCACGCACCAAGAGUCGAAGAGCGAGCGAGGCUCGCUUUGCCGGCCGCCAUUGCUCCGUCCGGCGAAUAGGAUGUGAUGCAGAUGCAGCGCAGUGGAAACUGACACGGAUCGCGGCCUAAUGAAGCUAUCAUCGUGCGUGCAUGAACGAAUAUUAUACAAUAAUAAUGGUGCAGGAUCGAGAAGGUUCAAAGGCAUGGAAGAAUCUUUAAAAAAAGGUAGAAAGGCAUGCAGAGCUCUCUGUUUGAUAUGGCUAGCUACCCCAACGAACGGUAUGUAUUGUACUCGAUCGGCAAGGCUGUCACUGUAGCUAGCUAGCUAAUAGCCUAUAGGGUUGGUUAGUUUUGGUUGCAUCGUCGUCGCCUUUGGCGUACUGUGCGCCGGUAGAAACGAACUAUAGCAUUACUAGAAAGUGCCUCUUUUCGUUCGACGACACUUCGACGUCGAAAGGGCAAUGCCGAAUUGGUCACGCGCGCGUUUUUAAGCAGCUGAUGGUGCAUCGGAAUACGUGGAGAGCUUUUGUGUUACUCGUUGGCAAAUGAUCAUAGAGCAGGACCACGCAUAAAGUUGAGAUAUACUUAGGCCUCGUUUAGAUGCGAUUUUUUUUGGAUUUCGCUACUGUAGCAUUUUCGUUUGUUUGUAGUAAAUAUUGUCCAAUCGUAGACUAAUUAGAAUCAAAAGAUUCACCUUGUGAUUUACAGACAAACUAUGUAAUUAGUUUUUGUUUUCGUCUAUAUUUAAUGCUUCAUGCAUAUGCCGCAAGAUUCGAUGCGAUGUGGAAUCUUGAAAACUUUUUGGUUUUUAGGGUGAACUAAGACCUUGUUUAGUUCCGAAAUUUUUUGGAAAAUUGACACUGUAGCAUUUUCGUUUGUAUUUGGCAAAUAUUGUUAAAUUAUAGACUAACUAAGCUCAAAAGAUUCGUCUCGUCAAUUUCGACCAAACUGUGCAAUUAGUUUUUAUUUUCGUUUAUAUUUAAAACUCCAUGCAUGCGUCUAAAGAUUGUGACGGGAAAUGUGAAAAAUUUUGCAAAAUUUUCUGGAAACUAAACAAAGCCUAAUUCGUCCGAGGUGAUCUUCCGAUCUGGCUAGCUCGAAUGCUCGAUUGCUCGAUCGCGCGUGCGUGUGUGACGUCAAGGCCGGUUAUUCACGAAUGAUAUAUAUCCGGCAAUCAGUAACGGUUUUUCUUUCCACAUACACUUAUUUAGAAACUAAAUGCAUGGCUGACGUACUGGCAUCUAUCAGGAAGCUAGGUGGACCAGUGUCACCAGUCAUCGUCCACUUGGAGCAUCAAAAUGUAUACAUAUAUAAAAAUAAUUCCUGAUCAAAAUUUAUAUGCAGAAGAAUCCGCUUAAAAGUUUGAUGAUGAUCCAGAUUCCAGAGAGCCAGUCUCACGUAAAAGGAAAUGGGAACCUACAUGCAACAUGGCUUUGUUAAACUAAGGUCAUCAGUCAUCACUGCGCUGUUCUCAAUCUCCAAAAGUCGUUUCAAUUUUUUUCUGAGCUCACCAUCUAAUCAUCUAUCGUGACAGUGCGGCACAGAGGGACACCAUUGCAUUGCUAUUGCAUGCAGCAAUAACUAACCACCAGCUCCUCAAUGCAUGCAACGGACAAACUGCACCAGCCUAUAAAUUCUCCAUCGGUAUCAUGUAACUGCCACAACAACAAGCAAUCGAAUCGAUCGAAGCUAGUAGCUGCCACACACGUACACAGCGCCAAAACUAGACAGAUACGUACUUCCUACAUUCUAGGAUUCCACGACGACGACGUCGACCGACCGACGACCACGUACGUACGUACACCAAGCCGAUCGAACUCCCCGAGCUGCAAUGGCGUCCAUCACCAACUUGAAUACGCUCAAGGUCGUGCUGCUCUGCGCCGUGCUCCUCCUGUCCACGGCCGUCGUCGCCGCCCGCAGCCACUUCGACGAGCCUGAUGAGUGUCGCCGCGCGGCGGCGGUGGUGAUCACUGGCCGGAGAAUGCUAGGCGCCGCCGUGAGCUCGGCCUCGGCGGCGGAGGCGGUGACAGCGGCGGCUGCCGUGAGGGUGCCGCGGCUCACUCGCCCCGCGGCGGCGGCGGCGGCCUACUUCGAGUCGAAGAGGGCGAGCCCCAGCGGUCCCGAUCCUCAGCACCAUUAACCACCAUUUUCGCUCUUGCGCCUUUUGUUGCUACACGGACGGAUGACGUAUGGAUCGGAGCUACAUACGGAGAUGGAGGAUCUGCAAUCGAGUCAGAGUUACGUUUUGUAGCAAUAAUAAUCAUAUACUAGUCACAGUGUUGUCUGUUGUGUUGUUCUUUCAAAAACAGAGUGUUAUUGUACUGUCAACGAAGAUUGACUACUACUAUUGCUAGGAGUGGCGAAGCCGCGGGGAGAAAAUAAUUUUUUUGCCCUUGAGCUUGAGCACGUGCUCUCCUGUUGCACCGUUAGAUGUGUACAUACUUUUUUUUUUCACGAAUGUGCGCCAAUUUCAUUAAGAGAGUGCAAUACAAACACAAGGCAAGCCAUGGAUUGCCGCACUUAAUGAUGAAAAGAAAAGAACGAAUAAAAGAGCAAAUAGCUCAAGCUGAAAUUACAAAUUAAGGGUCUGUUUGGUACAGCUCACAACAGCUUCAUGAGCUGUUAUGAGCUGUUUUUUUUGCCAAACACUUAUUUCCAAAACAGCUUCAUGAGUGAAGCUGUUUUUUCCCUCCUCUCACAAAGAUAUAAGUUGGAUGAAGCUGGAAAAAAGUAGCUUAUUGCAGCUUCUCUCUGAUUUCUCUCUCUUAACUAUGCAUGAAGUAGUUGGUGAAGCUAUUUUGCCAAACACUUUCUCCAAAACAGCUCAGCUUCAUGUAGAAAGUCACUCAUGAAGCUAUUUUCUAAAAAACAGCUUUACUAGUGAAGUUGAGCUGUGCCAAACAAGACCUAAGAUUGAGCGACCAGCGCACUAGUUGCAAUUUACACAAUGUAUAUAAGAGAGACAAUACUAAAGGUAAAAAAAUAUCUACUUUCAGCGGAGGUGAUCAAGGUAUAAUACAAAAAGAACCUCAAAUAAUGAGAUGCGGGUUCGAGUUCUUUUUGUUUGAUGACACGGGUCAUACCCACAAUGACACAUCACGAGUAGAUGUGGUACUAGAUUUGGGUAAUCUAAAGUAUAAUUACAUUCUAGUUGUUUUGGAUAGACUUAUAUUGAAUUUUAUAUUUGAAUGUUCAUAAUCAUGUGAUCUGUAUAAAAAUAUAAAAUCCUUUGGACAUUAACUCAGAGAAUCUGCCAAUAGAAUUUUAUUUAGAUUCUAGUUGUUUUUGGAUACACUUAUAUUGGAGUUUUAUAUUUAAAUUUGGAUGUUCAUCAUAAUCAUGAAUACUAUGUGAACAUCACAAACAAGACAAAUUAAAAACAGAAAUAAUAGAAAAAAAACAUGUAAUAGAGCAACAUAAAAAGGAACAUCUCAUGGAUAUUACUUGAACAACCUAAAAUAUAUCAUAGAACAUCUCAUAAGUACCAUUGAAUACUCAGAGAUAAUCAUGAAACACAUCAUUUAUAUUACGUGAUCAUCUGAAAACAUACCGUAAACACAUCACAUUUAUACUACAUAUAAACAUCAAAUGUAUGAAAAUAUAGGAAUUAAAAGCUUAAAAACUACGUAAUAGGAAAACGGACAAGGAAAAGGGGCAAGAAACAAAGCCAUGUAAGAGCAUCUCCAAGAGAUAUGCUAAAUGUACUAGCUAAAUCUUAUAAUUUAGCAAUUUUGUAAAAUACAAGACUUCUCAAAAAACAAGAGUUCCACAAGAGGUUGGCUAUUUCUCGUGUGCUAAAUUAAAAAGAUGUCACGUCAGCUAACUACCAGCCGAUUCCCAUCGGAUCAAAGCCUCGGACCUGUUCCUCACGCGUGAAUAGGAAGCAGGGACUCAUCCUGCGGCUUGGCUUCACGUUCAGUAGGACCAGGAGAGUCCAAUCCGGCGAACGGACCCGUUCCUCACACGCGUGUUGCCCAGGUUCCGGCUUCAAUCCACCACCAGGAGACGUUCAUCUUGCCGGCGACACGCUGCUGCUAUCGUGUAAGUUUUUUGAUACCUCAUCAUGUAUGUUCAUCUUUAGGUCACCUCUCAAUGAGCAGAUUCAUCUGUAGGUGUUCGAUCAUCACCUCGUCCAUCUGUACGUAUUUGAUCAAGCUAAUCAAAGGUUCACAAUGGAACUUGAAGAUGUAGUUAAUGAGCUGAUGGAUUCUUCAUCGUCGUCGUCGUCAUCGUCGGAUGAUGACGAUGAGGUAUAUGCUGCAGCAGAGCAUAUAAUACUAUCAAACAUUGUCAAUCCAGCAUGCCAUCGUGGUUCUGUAGAGGGACAUCGUGUUGUGAAUCGUGACAGGCAGUCAGGACACUAUGAAGAUUAUUUCUCAGAUAAUCCUACAUAUGGACCGAGCUAUUUCAGGCGCAGGUUAAUUUUCUCAUAUUUUAUCGACUCAUGUUAGUGUAUACAUGAGGCCUGAAUAAUUAUUUUUAUCUGAUGGAAUAGGUUUCGAAUGCGACGUCACAUGUUUGUCUGCAUAAUGAAUGCCGUUGAGAUGUAUGAUGACUAUUUCGUGCAGAAGAGGAAUGCGGCCGGAACCCUUGGACUAUCUUGUUUGCAGAAGGUGGUGGCGGCUUUCCGAAUGUUAGCUUAUGGAGUAGCAGCUGAUGCUAUGGAUGACUAUAUCCGUAUUGGGGAGACUACUGCUCUAGAAAGUCUUAGAAAGUUUGUCAGAGCUAUUGUUAAGGUAUUUGGACAUGAAUACUUGAGGUUGCCCAAUGAGGAUGAUACUGCCAGAUUACUUGAGAUUGGUGAGAGUAGAGGUUUUCCUGGCAUACUUGGUUCCAUUGAUUGUAUGCACUGGACCUGGAAGAAUUGUCCUUAUGCAUGGCAAGGUAUGUAUAGGGGACAUAAAAAGGAGCCAACAAUUAUUCUUGAAGCUGUUGCUUCUAAAGAUCUUUGGAUUUGACAUGCUUUCUUUGGGAUGCCAGGUUCGCAUAAUGAUUUAAAUGUUCUUCAAAGAUCUCCUAUAUUUGCAAGGCUUGCUGAAGGUCAAGGGCCACAGGUAAAUUAUAGCAUCAAUGGGAAUAGUUAUACUAUGGGUUACUAUCUAGCAGAUGGUAUAUAUCCAUCUUGGGCCACAUUUGUGAAGACCAUACCUGAGCCACAGGGUAAUAAGAACAAAUAUUUUGCAAAAGCACAAGAAGCUUGUAGGAAGGAUGUCGAACGAGCAUUUGGUGUUCUACAAGCUCGUUUUGCCAUUGUUCGAGCGCCGGCACGCGUGUGGGAUGAGGAUAUAAUUCAACUUGUCAUGACGGUUUGUAUCAUUAUGCACAAUAUGAUUGUUGAAGAUGAGGGAGUUGAUGAAAAAGAUUUCAAAUAUGAUGAUGUGGGAGAAAAGGUGACUGUAUCACACGAUGCUACACCUGAGUUCGAUGCAUUUAUGCAGAAUUACAAGAAGAUCAAGGACAAGGAGACACACACACAGCUUCAAGCCGACCUUAUCGAGCACUUGUGGCACAACUUUCCAGAUUUAUAUACAAAUAGUACUGUUGAAUAAUUUCAUUAUCACAACAUCAAGGCAUUAUGUAUUAAUUUGCAGACCUAUCUUCUUUGUUUGAUUUAUUAGACACUGUAAUAGUUUCAGGCUUGCCUUUCAUUUAUAUUGAAAACCUGAAUGUUUUUCCUUUCAUAUCAAUAUUUAUAAUUCUUUCUUCUUCUCGAUCCCGCUCAAAAUCAAAUUUUUCUUUGUCUAGUUUUAUCCUUUCUUCCUGCAAGGUAAGGGCUUUUUGGCACAUCUCUUGUUUCUUCAACUCCCUCUCCUCUUUCUUCAACUCCCUCUCUUUUUUCUUCAGCUCCUUCUCAGCAUCCACCUCUUUCUUCUUUGCCAAUAAAUAAUCUAAAGCUUCAAUGCUCGAACGCUGCUUUAGUUUUAGCUUUUUCUUCUUAGUCCCUAUAGGCCUCUCCACUGUGGUUAUUGUGUUUUCAGUCUCAGCAACAUAGUCUGCUACAUCAGCAGCAGGAGUUGAAUCAGCAGUGGUCUUUUGCUUUUUGCUGAAAGGUUUUUGAGGUCCAGUUGGCUGGCGCCUAUUCGUCCACUUAGAUUGGUCUUUGAGUAUUUUCCAGCAAUGUAUGUAUUGAAAAGUUCUGUUGAAUGGGUCUUCAUUCUUAUACAUAGUUAAUGUGUUUGCUUGCUGCAAUGGGAAACAAAGAUGACACAUGAGAUUCAGCAAAAACAUAUAGGAGAUUAGCAUGUGAAGGUAGGUCAUCUAACCUUGUCAUCAACAGAUGCACCACUCUGAUUUCGGCCCUCUACCUUUGAAACACAACCAGCAAAUAUGUUGCAGUCAUGUAGUAUACUAGACCACCGACUCAUUAGAGAACUUUGUGUGCGAUCAGAUUCAAAUUCCUUUUUUGAAUGAAAGUAAUUAUGUAUUCUUUUCCAAUAGGUAUCUUUUGAUUGAUUGACUCCUCUCACAGGAUCUAAACUCACAUUUAGCCACGCUGACACCAACAUCUCGUCCUCUUUAAUAGUGAAAUUUUUGGACCUUCUUUUAUUUCCUUUGACGGCAGCAGGGACCUCAUCGCGUGCUUGUAUUUCAUUAUGAGGUGAGAUAUUGUCAGACACUCCACCUGGAGGGAAACCUUCUAUAAUCAUAUCGGUCAAAGGUCUCCCUGAAUCCAUUUCGGCUGUAAAAACAUAACACAAGGAAUAUAUUAGAUGAUGAACUGAACAAGGAACAAAACAUAGUACAAAUUAAAGCCUAAUAAUUUUCUGUAGACUGAGAAGGUGUGCUUGCUCAUAUGUACUAUAAAAUGUAGCCUAAUAAUUUUCUGCAGAUUGAGAAGAUGUGUUUGCACAGAUGUAAUACAAAUUAAGUCUUAUAAUAUUCUGCAGUCUGAGAAGGUGCGUGUAUGAGAAAAUUUCACACAGAGUUCUCUCAAAAUUAAUUUUUAGAUGUACUACUGCAGCUUUGAUUUUGAACACCACAAGUUCACAUUGAUCUGUGCUACUGCCUACGGCUGCCAUUGUGCAUCAUUCAACCAGCAAUGGUACAGCGCUAGUAGUACUAGUAGUCUGAACUUUCUUUGGAUGGAAACCAAAGCUGCUUGAAGUAUAUAGAACUAAAAAUAAGUCAAACUCAUCCAUGAUACAAGCAACUAAAAUCUUUGAUCUUAGUUGGUUGGCUUCUUUGUGAACAUCUUUUACAGUGAAUUCCAGAUCUCGGGACAUGCCUAGGUUGCCUACUAGUUGGUUUAUCAUUCUUGUCUAAGGUUUAUUAUUCUUGACACUCAGACAUGUUGUUUUGAAGCAUUUUGUUGUCUGCUGAUGAGCUCCCUGCUAACUAUAAACUAUUGAGACUGUAAACACUAAACCAUCGAGCAUGGACCCCCUACAGUUCCUAAACGACAGUGAGAGACUGAGAGAUACGUACCGAAUUAGACUCACCGGAGCACACAUCGAGGAAUGGGUUCGACGAAGCAGUAGCAGAACUGUUCGGUGCAAGGACUUGUCGUCGCUGGCCUCCUUGCGCCGCAUUCUCCAACCAAGGGAGCACCACUGAGUCCUGCUGCUCCCAUCCGACGGCUGCCGGGAUCGACGAAGACGAGUUGUAAUCUCCCCAGCGCAGUUGGGAUCUCACAUUUGCCUGCUGCUCCCAUCCCAACUGCUGACGAUCCGCCUGAUGCUGCACCCAUCCGCCUGCUGCUCCUAUCUGCGUGAUGUUGGGAUAAUAGAGUGGAGCAGUUGGGAUCUCCCCGGCGCUCGACGGAGCUUGUCCAUGACGAAGCUAAUCCAGCGGUGCAGUGGGGUAGCGAUUAGGAGGAAGCGACCUGUCCAUGAGGAAGCGGCUCACAGUGAAGAGGAAAAAGGUAAUUCGGAGCGAGUCGCGAUUAGCUGCUCCAGCUGUCCAGCGGCGGCAGGAGCGGGUGAGAGGACAAGGCGAUGGACGGGAUGGGGAAUUGCGGUAUUCAGCGGGUCCGUCUGGAUUCCCACGAUGGGAAACUUCACAGCACGCGGGAAACUCUUCUCUGCGCGCGGGAAGGAUUGUGGGCGCGCGCGGGCAAGCAGACGUUAGCAAACUAUAUAGCAUAUCUGUUGGAGCUCAUUUUUUCCUGAAAAAUUCCAAAUAUAGCAUACACAACAAAGAUAGCAUAUCUGUUGGAGGUGCUCUAAUAGUAGAAAUAAAUGAAAAUAAGAAAGAAAUAUUGAAUUAAAAAGGAAAACAACAACCAAAUCUAAAGAAGGAAAAAUAAAAUAUAAUACAGACCAACGCAUAAAAAAAAAUAUAAUAAAAAAAUGUAUAGAAUAUGCAUACUACUAGAACAACAUAAAAUAUAAUAUAUCCUAGAACAUCUCACGAGUGCUACCAGCCCUGAAUGAACCCAACAGGGCACCAAUGUACUCCCUAUAUAUAGUCCGCAACAACUAAUCAUGAAAAACAUAAAAUUAAAAAUUAUAUAAAAAUAAUUAAUUAGAGUAAAUAAAUAUAAAUAAAAUGAAAAUAAGAAUAAAAACUCACAAAGAAAAGAAAAAGGGGACGGUGAAUUCAAAAAAGAUGAAAAAGAGAAAAACUCACGGACGUACUAGAACUGGUGUAACCCACAAAUAUACAAAAGACAUAGCACAAAUUUACAAAUUGAAAAAAAAAGAGAGAAGAAAUAAAAGAUCUAUGAUAUGUGGGAAAAAUAAAAAAGAAACGGGAAAGCAGGGAUUACACGAGAGAAACGACCCACGUGAACCGCGGAGAUACCGGCCCAAUUCGUCUCGGCAGCCCACUACCAAUCUGUGGAGAGAUGGUCGGCCGUGUACUCGGGUCUGGUCCGACCCGAAGAUUGCCGCUUUUCUUCUCCCGUCCACCCUGCGUCUCUCUGCUCGCGCUCUCGUCGAGCUACUAGGUGACAGCCGCUGCCGCCGCCCGCCGCUGCCUCCCUAAGCCACUUGCUCGGUCUAGCCUCGCCGGCUCCUUCGCAAGGUUGGCCCGUCGCCGGCGGCCAACACCCACCAGGUAUUCGCACCCCUUCUCUUCCCUGUCCGAAAUCGACCACCCGAACCCUAUUCGGAUCUGAUCUAGUUACAAGUUGAUACGAUUUUAUUAUUAUUAUUAUUAUUAUUUGCAAAAUUUAUUGGGUGUGUGUACACCAUGUCCUUUACUGUGUCUGGCCCCUGGUUGCGAUGAUGGGUUUGAUAUAUUUGUUGAUACUUUCAGGUUCAGAGAUGGCAGAGACGGUGUUCACCCCCUCUCUGGAAGGGAUGAAGCAUGUCAAGGCAGAGAACGGAGUCAUUCUCACCAAGCCCUUCCUUGAUGUCUGCAAGCAAAUCCUGCCUGUCCUGGGUAACUCAUUUGCUUCUCUGUCAGCUACAUGAGGUUUUGAAAUUUAAGUAGGAGUAGCUGCAUUGCUUAAUCUCUGAUUUGGUACCAUGCUUAGUUAAGUUGUGGGGCGGCAGCAGUGAACGGGCUUGAGUUAUUCCUCACGCGACGCGACACAUGGUAGAUUGAUCUUCUAAACAAGGUUUCUGAUAGCUAGACAAAUUAUCGUCGACAUGCCACCAUGGAGACACACACAAGUUUAUUUUGAUGGUUGUAAAUUUUGUACGCACAUCUGUGUGGUACUUCUGUUGAUCUUUGAAUCAAGCUUAGUUGUUGUCUUAAACCAUGGAAGAGCAAACCAUUGGGUCUUAAAAUCGCAGUUCUGUGUUCCUUUAUGUUGAGCUGUACUUGUGUUGCUUAAACAAUAAACUAUUUGUCAAUAAUUUUCCCUUUAUCCCCUGCUUUUGUGCACCAGAUAAAUUUGGAGCUGCUAUGGCACUUGUAAAAACUGAUAUCGGUGGCAAUAUCACAGUAAGCAAAUCUUUCUGCAAGAUUUUCUAUUAUACUAGUAACAUUCAAAGGUUAUCUUCCAUUCUUUUCUGUUGGUAAUAGCUGGGCAGUUGACGGCAGUGUUUAUGUUGUCUUUCAGUUAUCUAUGUUGAGAUAAUUGAUAUUGAUAGCUACUUUAGACUAUUCUGCCUCUUGCUUAGUUCAUUUCUCACUUCUGGAGCCCUUGGGGUUCCAUUUUUUUUUCUUUUUAAUUUCAAUUGACUCGAUCCUCUUCUGUCAGAGACUGGAAACAAAGUAUUCUUCAGAUCCAUCAAAGUAUGAACACUUGUACAGCAUGGUUCAGGAAGAAGUUCAAAACAAGACAGCAAAAGGUUCCUCAAGCUGCACAAAUGGGCUUCUGUGGCUCACGAGGUGCUUCGAUUUCUUAUUCUUUUGUCACUUUUCAUUGCAACUUGCUCAGCAUGCCAAGUAUGUGACUUUUAUUUACUCAAAAUUUUGCAUGUCAGGGCCAUGGAUUUCCUUGUUGAGUUGUUUCGUAACCUUCUUGAGCAUGCAGACUGGACCAUGACUCAAGCUUGCACUGAUUCAUACACCAAGACUCUGAAGAAAUUUCAUGGCUGGCUUGCCAGUUCUAGUUUUACGGUAUAAUCUUUCACUCUAUAUAGUGAUCCAUACAAGUGAUGGAAUUCUAUCCACAUUAGCAAUCUGUUUCUUCAACGUUCUUUAUUGAGAGAAUAUUAUCAACAUGUGAAUUCUGGAAAUGUGUGUCUAGUUUUCACAUGGACUGCCAACCUGAAUAACAAAGCAUCAGCGCAUGAUAGAUCAAAGAACAGCUUUGAUUUGUUUUAAAUCAGAAAAGUUCUUUUCAAGAACAUUUUCUUGUCACAUCCAGUUUUGUAUCUAUGACUUCAUCAAUCCAAAUUCUUCCAUCCAGUCUUCUCUCUUUGAAGAACUAAAAAGUUAAAACAGGUGUUUUCGCAAUUUCUAGCUACAGACGACAAACACCAGAUAGUCAUUUAGUUAAUUUGAACUGUCUACUGAAACCCUGAUCUUUUAAGAUUGUUUGCGUACUUUUAGUUAGAGUAUAUCUCUUUUAUUGGUGCUACCAUUUGUUGAUUUAUUUUUUGUGACUUAAAUGUUGAUGGCAGGUGGCCAUGCGGCUCGCUCCUAAUAGAGAUAAAUUUAUGGAGGUCAUUAGUGGAACUGGUGACAUCAAUGCAGAUAUUGAGAAAUUUUGCACAACCUUCUCUCCUUUCCUCAAAGAAAAUCAUGAAUUUCUGGUACGGUCUCUCCCAAUUCAAGAUUCGGUUUUGCUACUUUGGUCUCUUGUGAAAUAGCUCUUGAAGCUGCUAUUCUUGCAGGCGAGCGUUGGUCUUGAUGACAUGAAGGCUUCAUAGAGUAAUCUCCGUGGCGAUUACAACAAACAACAAAAUAAACAUGUCUUAUCAAUCUCAAGUGUUGCAGAGGAUAUACCUGUUUUCCGUAGCCAUCUUCCCCUUGAAAAUUAUACAGGGUCGUAAUAAUUGUCCGCAUGAUUGACCAUGGCUACUUACACAGCGAAUUGACAGUACUCAACAAAUUUACUUUCCAAACUCAGUCCCUUGUUACAGAAAAUUUACAUAUGAUUAUGUGGAACUCUUGUGUUGUAUAGUUCUCUAUCCUCAAAUCUUGCAACAGGUAAAUUCCUGCGAAAAUCAGAAACGUUACCACCUAGCAAAUAAUGUGUCUGCCACGCCAGAUGUUCACCUUUCUAACAAUAGCAGUUUUUCGAUUCUGGAUUCUUGCCAAGUGAUCUGUUCCUCGAAGUAAAUGUUCUUAAGUGAAUUGUAGUUACUCGGCCUUAAACAUAGCAUCUUGUUAACAAUGCCAAUCGGCCAGGUUUGCUGUUUAGACAUCAAGUUCUUGUGAAAUUCGAUAGCAGUUGUGCUGACUGAGUUGUUUUAAGUUGGUUGGUGGAAUAAUAAGGCCUUGUUUAGUUCACCCCGAAAUCCAAAAAGUUUUCAAGAUUCUCCGUCACAUCGAAUCUUGCGGCACAUGCAUGAAGCAUUAAAUAUAGACAAAAAUAAAAACUAAUUACAUAGUUUGUCUGUAAAUCGUGAGACGAAUCUUUUGAUCCUAGUUAGUUCAUGAUUGGACAAUAUUUGUCAAAUAAAAACAAAAAUGCUACAGUAGCGAAAUCCGAAAUUUUUUCGGAACUAAACAAGGACUAAGCAUUUGUUACGUGUGGAUGUUUAGUAAGGGCAUUGUUCAUUUAACUGUGUAUGCUUAACAGUUAACAUUAGGGUGCUACACGCCUACACUAACCGUCGCAAAAAAAAAAGGUACUACACUAACGAGGGUAGUUGAGCAAAGACAUAGUAUAAAGAUCUCUACCAGUGGAAAAUGACACAGAUCGCCGCCUAAACAAGCCAUCGUAAACAUGGACCAUGAAAAGGGCCGAAAGGCAGAUAGAUGGAGGACAGGAGGAGCUAUACAUACGUAUAAUACCAUUCAAUACUAAAACACGCUGGUUGUAGAAAGUUACCAAUACGUGAUUUGAAGGCUUUAGGCCUUGAAGCAGAUCGCUGAGCUAGCUAGGUAGCUCCCCCGUCCCACCGCCGGCGGCCACCCGGCCCCGGCGUCCACCAGCCCCGGCCGUCGGGCUCCCCGGCGCCCGCCACAAGUCGCAGGUUGCGGAGGCGCCGUCUCCCGACCGCCAUGGACCGUUCCCGUCUCUCUUGGGCUUUGCAAGUUCAGGCCGAGGAUCCCAUAUCGGGGGCAGCGGCCACCUUUCAACUGCCCCCUCUCGCCGCCGCCGCGCAGGCCUCCCUUGUGCUGCGCGCAAGCUCCUUGGACCCUGAGGCUGCACCUUUCGCCGGAUCUCCGCUUCGUCCCGGGGGAUGCUUUGCCUCACCGACUCUGAGGUGUUAGGUUGAUCUCAGGCCCAGCCCAACGGCUGGGGCCUCUUACCCCCUGGAUCGCGCCCUGAUCGGGGGCGCCCAACCGAUCCAUGGUUGGUGGGCCCCCGACGCGCUGCGCUAUAUAAACAGGAGUGGGGGCCGCAGGCACGUUUGACGAAGUUCGCCGUGCACACAACCCCACUCGACAAAUCCUAGGCCUUCCGAUCGGCUUGCGCAGUGGCGUCGGGAAGCACCACCGCGCCGCCUCCGUUCUACUACUACCCCGUCGUCGGUCAGUGCCGGUGGAGGCCCGAAGGACGACGUGAUCUACAUCGGCGCAGCACCUACACUCACACCAUGGACGUCUCCGGAUCUGCUCCUUCCACCAACGACGGUCGAAACCCUAAACUAUUGAUCUAUAUGUUUCUACUAAAUUGUAAUAGAUCUAGUGUAUGCACAUAUAUAUAAAUGUCACUGUAUGCAUUGUUUUAUCCCGAAACCCCGUUCAUCCUAUUGCUAGUAGAUCCUGUAGAUCCAUCAAUGGUAUCAGCCGAUCUAGUAAUAGAUCGGGGUUUUCGGGUUUUACCCAGCAAGAACAGCAAGUAGAAGGAGAGGAUUUUCGAAUUCCUAACCCUAGCGCUCAGAUCCAAAACCCCAACCCUAGCACAAGAACCAGAUCAGGGAAGGGGAUUUCAAAACCCUAACCCUAAACAGCAAGGGGAAGGAGUACCCUUACCUGGGACCCACCUAUCCCGACCUCGUCUCCGGCCGUUUCUCCAUGGCGGGCGGGACGCACGGGCAAGCUCAGGGCACCGCACACGAAACGCUCGACGGCGGCGCGCUCCGCAGUGAGCGAGCGCGCGCACCGGCGAGCGACCCGUUAGCGGCGCCAUCUCCUUCUCCGGCCGGUAGCGUUCUGCUGUGGGGCGCGGUGUGGGCUGGGGAGAAAAGCACAGAGAAAGAGAAAGAAAGGCACCAGCGGCUCCUUCUCACCGGCGUCGGGCCACCUCGGCCGUGGCUGCUGUAGGCGUUGUGCGCCGUCAAGAAGCAAGAGAGAGAGGGCGACGGCGGUGGCCCUGCUGCCGGGCACGGUGCCGGCGGCGGCGGCUCCCUGCUGUCCAUGCGCUGAGAGAGAGAGACAGAGAAGAGAGAGAGAGGGCGACGGCAAGAAUGAGGGCUAGGGUUUCAAGGGUCGAGCCGGCCUGGGGGUUUUGUUUCCCCGAAAUCGAAGGACGGCCGUUGGAUCUUGAUCAACGGCCACGGUCGAUCUGGGCCGCUUUUGGCCCAGGCGGGGGCGUAGAUUCCCGGCCCAGGCCCAGGUUGCGGCCUGGGCGCGGGGAGAGCAAGCGGCCGGCUGGCCAACUGGGCCAAAUUCGGCCUAACUGGGCCGCGAGCCUCCAGUCAGCGAAGAAGAAAAAAAAAAACAGGCAGGCCUGGGCGCUGCGCGCUGCUCCGCGCGCCGAGCUGGGCCGCAAGCGACCGUGGGCCGAAUCGUUGGCCGCGACAUGUUUAAGCACAGAAAUUUCUUUUUUCAUAUUCCAUUUUAUUUUCAGAAGCAUUUAAAUAAUGUUUUGCUCAGUUUUAAAUUCUAUUUAAUUUGCACCAACGUGUAUAUUAUCUAGAAAAGCACAGUCAGCAAGUUAUGCUUCUGAAAAUAGCAAAAAAAUUAAUGUUUUCCGCUGCGCAAGUUAUAUUUUAAUUCUCCUAUUAAAUUGAACCAACGGGACAUUUAAUUUGAGAAACGAGUUUUUAAAGCCCAGUAUUUUUGUGAUAUUGUUAUUUUUUGACCAACGUUAAUAAUAACAAUAUUGCAAAUUUCGAGUUCUAAUUUUAUGCAUAUAUUCUAUUCUGCCCAACGGUGAUUAGAAUUUAUGUAGAGAGUUAACUUUUUGUAUAUCUUGAUUUUGACCAACGUUAAAUUAAGAUAUGCAAUUAUUUUUUCCUAGAUUUAAUGUUAAUGUUCUCACUAUUUUCUCAUAUUUAAUUUCAGACCAAGCACUCAAUGCGAUGCACUUCAUCAGUGCAAUCCCAAAGCUGACGGGGCAGAACUAUGUUCUGUGGCGCGAGGAACUUGAUGCUGCUCUAGCACUUGCUGAGAUAGAUUUGGCUCUUCAGGAGCCAAAGCCCACUGAGCCAAAGGAGCCCGAAAGGGCUCAGAAUGAGACCGAUGAAGCUUUUGCUAAUCGGAAGCGAGACUUUGCUCCCAUCAGAGCAAAGUAUGAUCUUGAGAAGUACAAGUGGGAAAAGUCAAACCGCAAGUGCAAGAUUGUCAUCAAGAAAACCAUCACAGAGGGCCUAAGAGGUGCCAUCCCAGAAUGUGAGACAGCAAAAGAAUACCUUGAGAAAGUAAAGAAUCAGUUUACUGGUUCCACCAAAGCCCAUGCUUCCACCCUGAUCCAGAAACUCACUAACAUGAGGUUCACAGGGGGGAGUGUGAGAGAGCACAUUCUGAGCAUGAGCACCAUGGCAGCCAAGUUAGAGAAGCUAAAGAUGCCCCUUGCUGAUGGUUUCCUCAUUCACCUAGCUCUAAACUCACUUCCUAAAGAGUAUGAGACUUUUGUUGUUAACUACAACACACAGCCAGAGGAGUGGGAUUUAGAGAAAGUGAUUGCUAUGUGUGUGCAAGAGGAAGAAAGGCUCAAGAAUGCAAAUGGUGGUUCUGUGAACUUUGUGAAAGGAAAGAACAAGAAGCCAUUCUACAACAAGAAAGCUCCAGAUGCCUCCACCUCCCAGAACAAGGGAGGAAGCUCUUCACAGCCUAAAGCACAGCCAAAGCAAGACAACCAGCACAGGCAGGAGGACCCGGAUCGCUGUAGAUGGUGUAAUGAGACAGGGCAUUGGAAGCAUGACUGCCCUAAGUUCAUGAAACAUUGCCUAGUGAAAGGUGAGGACAUUAUAACUUUUGUUGAUGAAUCCUUAUAUCUAAGUUAUGCUAGAUCCACAUGGUGGAUUGACUCAGGUGCAACUGUUCAUGUUGCAAACUCUUUGCAGGGAUUCAGUGGAGGGAGAACCCUUCAAAGAGGAGAAAGACAGAUUAAGGUGGCCACUGGUGUUGAAGCUGAAGUUCAAGCUAUAGGAAAUUUAUCUCUAGAUUUAGCUAGUGGCUUCACCCUUGAGUUGCAUGAUGUUCUUUAUGUUCCCUCUUUAGCUAGAAAUUUAAUUUCAGUUUCAUGUUUGUCAGACUAUGGUUUUGAUUGCCAUUUCAGCAAGAAUGAUUGUAAGCUACAGUUAAAUAAUAAAUGUGUGGGUCUUGCCUUCCGACAAGACAAACUUUAUUUAUUAUCUUUGUCUGAGAAUGUGAAUGCUGAAUGUAAUAACGCUGAGAAUGCAAUACCCGCAGAUGCUAGCAAGAAAAGAAAGAGAAUUGAUUCCUCAUCGAAAUUAUGGCACUGUCGUUUAGGCCAUAUUUCGAGGGGGAGAAUAGAACGCUUAGUCAAAGAAUCAAUCCUCCCACCAUUAGAACUCUCAGAGUUAGAGCAAUGCGUUGAUUGCAUUAAAGGCAAGUUAGUAAAGAACAUAAAGAAAGGCGCUAAGCGAAGCAUGGGAGUACUAGAAUUGAUCCACACAGACAUCUGUGGACCUUUUCCAGUGACAUUUGUGGAUGGUUUUGAUUCCUUCAUCACAUUCACAGAUGACUACUCUCGUUUUGGAUACAUCUAUCCAAUCAAAGAACGCUCAGAAGCUUUAGACAAAUUUAAGAUAUUCAAGGCUGAGGUUGAAAACCAACUAGACAGAAAAAUCAAAGUAGUAAGAUCUGACCGUGGGGGGGAGUACUACGGUCGACAUACCCCUUAUGGACAAGUUCCUGGACCUUUUGCAAGGUUCUUACAGGAAAAUGGCAUAGUAGCCCAGAAUUCAAUGCCAGGGGACCCACAGCAGAAUGGAGUAGCAGAAAGGCGUAACCGUACUCUAAUGGAUAUGGUGCGCAGCAUGAUGAGCUAUUCCACUCUGCCACUGAGUUUGUGGAUGGAGGCCUUAAAAACCGCCAUUCAUAUUCUCAACAGAGUUCCAAGCAAGUCAGUACUUAAAACCCCGUAUGAGUUGUGGACCGGCAGGAAACCCUCAGUCAACCAUCUGCGUGUCUGGGGGAGCCCCGCUGAAGCAAAAGUGUUUAACCCAAACAUAGGAAAGCUAGACCCCAAAACAGUAAGUUGUCAUUUCAUUGGCUAUCCAGAAAAGUCGAAAGGUUAUCGUUUCUACUGCCCUGGUAGACAUACCAAGUUUGUGGAAACGAGACACGCUAGUUUUCUAGAAGAUCAGAUGAUCAGGGGGAGCAAGGCAGCGCGAGAAAUUAACCUUGAAGAGAAGCGGGUGUUCGUGCCCAUUCCCAUGGUGCAAGAACCCUACUUUACGCUGCCUGUUGUUGUUGGAUCUACACCAGUAGUGACAACACCUGCUGCCUUUUCGCCUAUGGCCAAUUUGGAACCUGUCCCUCAGGAGCCGAAUGAACCCAUAGUCGAAGAACAACAGCCCCAACAAGAGCAACCUCAAGAAGAAAUGCCAGUAGCAGAAACUUCUGGCAGACCUCAAAGAGCGAGAAAGUCUCCUAUUCCAGAUGACUAUAUAGUCUAUGAAUGCGAAGAAGUUCAGAUGGAGGAUGAACCCACUUCAUUUGAAGAAGCCAUGAGGAGCACCGAAGCAUCUAAGUGGCAAGAAGCCAUGGAAGAUGAAUUAAAGUCUAUGAGUACCAAUAAAGUUUGGGACCUAGAGAAAAUUCCUGAAGGAGCCAAAACAGUAGGCUGCAAAUGGGUCUACAAGGUGAAACGUGACUCCAAAGGGAACAUAGAAAGGUACAAAGCAAGACUGGUAGCCAAGGGUUUUACUCAGCGAGAAGGGAUAGAUUAUAAUGAAACAUUCUCUCCCGUCUCGAGCAAGGACUCUUUUAGAAUCAUAAUGGCCCUAGUGGCACAUUUUGAUCUAGAAUUGCAUCAAAUGGAUGUGAAGACAGCUUUCCUCAAUGGGGAUCUAGAAGAAAGAGUAUACAUGGCACAACCGAAAGGUUUUGUUGUGACAGGCAAAGAAAGAAUGGGCUGUCGCCUGAAGAAAUCCAUUUAUGGAUUAAAGCAAGCAUCCAGGCAGUGGUAUUUAAAGUUUGAUAAGACAAUCAGAAAGUUUGGGUUUACAGAGAACGUUGAGGACAAUUGCGUAUAUGCAAAGUUUAAGAAUGGGAAAUACAUUUUCCUAGUACUGUAUGUAGAUGACAUUCUACUAGCCAGUAGUGAUGUCACUCUACUGCAGGAAACCAAGAGAUUUUUGUCCUCAAAUUUCGAUAUGAAAGAUUUAGGUGAAGCUUCUUUUGUCUUGGGCAUAAAGAUUCACCGAGAUAGAAGUCGAGGGGUAUUGGGAUUGUCCCAAGAGGCAUAUAUAGAGAAAAUAUUGAAGAAAUUCAAUAUGCAUAAGUGUAGACCUUCACCUGCUCCUAUUGUAAAAGGUGACAAGUAUGGGGAACAUCAAUGUCCCAAGAGCAAGUUCGAGCGCGAUCGCAUGCAAGCCGUUCCAUACGCUUCAGCUGUCGGAAGCUUACAGUAUGCUCAAGUGUGCACACGCCCAGACCUGGCUUUUGUGACCGGGUUACUUGGUAGAUAUCAAAGUAAUCCAGGUAUGGAACACUGGAAUCUAGUAAAGAAAGUCUUAAGGUACUUGCAAGGCACGAAAGGGCUCAUGUUAACCUAUAGAAGAUCUGAUGACCUACAAAUAGUAGGGUAUUCAGAUUCUGAUUACGCGGGAGAUGAUAGAAAGUCUACCUCAGGGUAUGUAUUCACUCUCGCGCAAGGAGCCAUAUCAUGGAAGAGCUCAAAACAAACAAUAGUCACUGCAUCGUCCACAAUGUAUGCUGAGUUUAUUGCUUGUUAUGAGGCAUCAGGACAGGUGAAUUGGCUUAAGAAAUUUAUACCCAGUUUAAAGGUGGUCGACAGCAUUGAUAAACCACUAAAGUUGUAUUGUGACAACGAGCCAGCAGUGUUGUAUGCUCACAACAAAAAGUCAAGCAAUGCAGCCAAGCACAUUGACAUAAAAUAUUAUGUUGUCAAGGAUAAAAUCCGGGAUCACGUCAUAAGUCUUGAACAUAUAAGCACAGAAAAGAUGCUAGCGGAUCCGCUUACCAAAGGCUUACCGCCCAACGUGUUCAGAGAACAUGUAGCCGGCAUGGGUUUAAGGGAAAGCCUGUGAUUCCUGGAUAGUAAGGGGCCCAAGGCGAGAAUUCAUCUCUAAAUAGAAAAGUGUUUGUGGCUGUCUAAUCUAGCAGUGAUAACUGUCAAGAUGAAGCAUGCUCAAUACACUGAUUUGUGAUGGGGUGAGUUGACAAAGCGAGAUAGCACAGUUGAGAUCAAGGGGGAGAAUGUUAGGUUGAUCUCAGGCCCAGCCCAACGGCUGGGGCCUCUUACCCCCUGGAUCGCGCCCUGAUCGGGGGCGCCCAACCGAUCCAUGGUUGGUGGGCCCCCGACGCGCUGCGCUAUAUAAACAGGAGUGGGGGCCGCAGGCACGUUUGACGAAGUUCGCCGUGCACACAACCCCACUCGACAAAUCCUAGGCCUUCCGAUCGGCUUGCGCAGUGGCGUCGGGAAGCACCACCGCGCCGCCUCCGUUCUACUACUACCCCGUCGUUGGUCAGUGCCGGUGGAGGCCCGAAGGACGACGUGAUCUACAUCGGCGCAGCACCUACACUCACGCCAUGGACGUCUCCGGAUCUGCUCCUUCCACCAACGACGGUCGAAACCCUAAACUAUUGAUCUAUAUGUUUCUACUAAAUUGUAAUAGAUCUAGUGUAUGCACAUAUAUAUAAAUGUCACUGUAUGCAUUGUUUUAUCCCGAAACCCCGUUCAUCCUAUUGCUAGUAGAUCCUGUAGAUCCAUCAUGAGGCAUCCCUCUCAAGCCUGGACGACUCGCCAGCCUUGGGUCGAGGUCCGACGGCCCCGCGCCCCCGUGGUCAGCGUCGGCGCCGCCGUCGCCGUGCACGCAGGGGGGGGUGCCGCGGGGGUCCCGCACCGCCUACAGCACUCGCCGUCGAGCCCAGCGCCUCGCCUUGCAUCCAUCGUCGUUCACCCAGCGCGCAUGUCGGUUCAGCCUGACGCGGAUGGAUUCCGGGCUGUCCAGAGUCGACGUCGUUGGCGGCGCGCGCCGGCGGCCAGCCGGCCGGUGCCGGCGAUCUUAGUCGGUAAGUGUUUCAACUGUUUAUCCGAGAACCACGUCUGGGCUAACUGUCCAGGUCCGGCGCGCUGCUUCAAUUGUCUCGAAGCCGGUCACCAGUCGCGUGACUGUCCGCUUCCGCCGAGGUCCGGGGUCCGCGGUGGGAAGCGGGGCCGUUCGCCGGGAAGCCUUUACCGCCGUGGAGACCCGCGUAGGCGUCGCUCUUCCACACGGAGGCCUCCCGCGCCACCGGCGACGUCCGACACGGCCUCCGCGCGUUCGGUCUCCACUAGCAGGUCCCCCUCUGUUCCGCCGGGGUGCGGCCCUCCUACCCCGGUCGUCGUUGCGGCGCGGCCGUCGACGCCCGACACAGCCUCCGCGUGUUCGGCCUCCACCGGCAGGUCACCCUCUGUUCCGCCGGGAUGCGGCCCUCCCACCCCGGUUGUCGCUGUGGGGCUGGACGAACCACCGGCCGAUGAGCCGGCCGGCGCCGCUCGGCGCGGCUCGGGUACCCAAGUCGGUGGCCAAGCCGGGGCUUCAACCGGCGGCGGAGCUGGCCGCGCUUCCUGGCCGUGUCCAGGGGCUCUCGCGAGCCCUCCUACGUCGUGCUGCGCAGCAUCCAGCUUCCCCGAGAGCAAGAGCACGAAACCCGCUGCUUGAGAUGGUCGUCAUGCCGCGCACGCCAGCCAUCCAGGCGGCGGAGGACGCCUUGUCACUCGCUCUACUCGCCAUGGUGGUCGGGACGCGACCGCCCGUCACUCCUGCCAUGAUGCUGGAGCACCUGCACGCGUCCUAUGGUCUCAAUGAGGAUGUCAUCUCUGUGCGGAGGACCCAGCCCGACGACUUCAUUGUCCGCUUCUCCAGGCAGGCGGACCUUGACAGGGUGCUCAGUUCACCGGAGCCGCGUGGUACGCCGUUUACCUUGCGCUGGCGCCGGUGGAAUCGUCUCAUUUCAGGUUCUGCUGGGGCCUUCCGCUUCCGGGUGCUUGUCGGAAUGAAAGGUAUCCCGUCGCACGCGCGAUCGGAGGAGGUCGCGCAGGUGCUGCUGGGAUCAUCGGGCGUGAAGGUGGAGAUCGCCAACCCGGACGCCGUCAGUGAUCCGGACGAUGAGAGGAACUCUUCGUUGCUGCCUGGUGCGCCCACCCCGACCUUAUUCCCGACGAGAAGAUUCUUGCCAUCCCGGAGCCGGAGGAGGCGCACGACGGCGGACCUCCACUAUUCCUUCGACCAUGGGAGAUCAUCCAUUCAGAGGUACCUGCCCUAAGGUACUUUGUGCGUCUGCACAUCGUCGAGUUCCAGGACUGGAACACCCCUCCGCCCUCCGACGACGACGACGACGGCGACCUCCAUGGCGGAGGCGGUUGUGACUCCGACGGCGGCGACAGCAACAGCAACGGCUACUGGCCGGGUCUCGCCGGCGCUGGUGGCGGCGGCACGCGGCCGCGCACGACGCGCUUCGGCAGGCCGAGCGAUCCGACGCUCGGCCGCGGAUCGGGUCCCGGAUUCCUGCCACGUCAGCAUGGGAGCGGCAUCUUGGUGGGCCAACUCCUCUGCCCUGUCGCAUCGACGUGUCCCAUCAACAACUGCCCCCCUAGCAGUGGCAGGAAUUCAGGACAGGCGGAGUCACGGAGCUCCCCCAUCGACAGCGUUGACAUCUGCCGCUCACCCUCUCCUGUCAUAUCGACAUCGGCAGACCCGAUGUGGUCAGAGGCGUGUUUGAUCGUGCCUAAAGCUGCACCGCCACCCGUCGCAGUGGCCCAAUCUGUCGACCGCGACCCGCGGCGCUUCUGCUGCUCGGGCACCGCGCCGAGUGGGACCGCUGCUUGGUCCCCGGAGGAAGAUUUCAUGUCUUUGUUGGGCCGAAAGCUCAGCUUCGAAUCUGCACCUGAUGGGCCUGCGUUCUUAUACAAGUCCAGCAUAGUAAAUGUGGCAGCCCAAGAAAACACGAUGUUGUUGACAGAACUCAACAUAGGGGGGCACCUGGAGGCCCCUAGCAAGAGACAAUUGUCGCCAACAAACUCACGGCCCACGUUCAACGUCACUGAAGACAACUCUUCUCGUGCGCCGGAGACCACAUCGUCCUGCCCCCUGUCGACACAUGUGGGGAAUUUCGUCGACUCCUUACGGGUGCCUCUGCAGGCUCCCGUGCUGUCAUCCACUCCGCCACGACGUAUCACCAAAGCGGCGGACAAAGCGGACGACGAUGGCUGGAUACCCAAGCGAAGCGCACGACUGGCGGCCAAAAGCAAGUUCCGUGCCGCCAAGCCGGAAGCUCAAGCUAGGCACGUCAUGAUGAAGAAGCUUGGCCUCGAGGUACAAACCGAGGUCCCAGACGAACCCUCCUUCGAUGAAUUUCAUGCUGCCCUGAAGUUCCCGCUAAACUCAUCGACAAAGGAAGCAAUGCAGGUUCUGUUCCAUGGCAGGAAGCAGCUGGCACUUGGUGCCGUUAGCGCCGCCUAGUGUACUUCUCGGCCUUGCGUCAGUCGCGAUCAUUGUAAUCCAUGUUAAGUUCAAACAUUAUGAUCUGGAACCCGAGGGGUCUCAACAUGCGAGCACGAAGGUCGGUCGUCCGCGAGUUCCUCUUACAGGAACGCGCUACCGUGCUCUACCUGGUUGAGACCAAACUGGAUGUACUCACUGCUUCUAUGGCCUCUGAAUUAAUGGGAUUGGCCUUUGAUUAUGUAUUGUUGCCUUCGAUUGGGGCGUCCGGGGGCAUCAUAGUGGCUUGGGACCGCGCCGAAUGGGUGGUCUCGGCACACGCCUGUCGUUCCUACUCAGUUACGCUGGAGAUCGCCCACAUCUCCUCGCCUGCAAGUUCCUGGACCCUGUCGUGCGUCUAUGGUCCUGUGCUAGAAGACCUCAAGCCGGCCUUCGUGACUGAGUUACGUGAUGUGUGUACUCAGUACACGGGGCCGCUCCUGGUAUGUGGUGACUUCAACCAAAUCUACUGCGCGGAGGACAAGAACAACAGUCGUCUCAACCUGCGCUCCAUGCGUCGGUUUCGUCGGGCGAUAGACGAGUCACACCUACAAGAGCUGUAUCUGAAUGGUCGACUGUACACUUGGUCCAGCCGGAGAAGCACGCCGACGCUUGAGCGUCUUGAUCGAGCUUUCGCCAAUGUCGACUGGCUUGAGGCUUUCCCAUCUCACCACCUACGUUGCCUCUCCUCGGAUUGCUCCGACCAUUCUCCACUAUUGCUGCAGCUGUGCUCCCAGCCUUGGGCCAAGUCGCGCUUUCGCUUCGAGGCAUUCUGGACUCGCCUUGACGGCUUCCAGGAAGUAGUCGCAGACGCCUGGGACGCUGAGCUGCCGGGGGCUGAUCCCUGCAGGUUGCUGGAUUUCAAGCUCAGGAAGACGGCAAAAGCGCUGCAGAGUUGGAGCAUGAAAUGCAUUGGGAGUGUGCGCUCACAACUAUUCAUGGCACGAGAACUCAUCGCCCACUUUGACAAAGAACAGGAGACCAGAGUGCUCACGCAGGACGAGUGCGCCAUACACAGCCAGUUCAAGCUCAUGAGCCUGGGCCUUGCAUCCCUGGCACGCACAAUUGCCAGGCAGCGUGCACGCCUAAGGUUCCUGCGUGAGGGGGAUGCGAACACAAGAUUCUUUCAUCUGCAGGCGUGUCACCGGAGCCGCAAAAACAUCAUACCGGCGAUCCUGCAUGACGGUGCUUAGGUGUCCGCCGAGCAGGCCAAGUCGAAUGUAAUAUUUGACUACUUCAACUCCAUCUUGGGCGCACCGUUCAGCCGCUCACACUCCAUUCGGCUGGAUGAUCUCCUGCCGCAGCUUGAUUUGUCCGGUAUGGACAGCUGCUUCUCCGAACAGGAGAUCUGGGAGACGAUAAACACGAUGCCGAGCGACCGUGCACCGGGGCCAGACGGAUUUACUGGGCUGUUCUACAAAGCUGCUUGGCCCAUCAUUAAGCGGGAUGUCAUGAACGCUAUGAAUGCCCUAUGGUCGCUUGAUGCACGCAGCUUCAAUCUACUCAACGACGCAUUCAUGGUGCUGCUGCGAAAGAACAAUGCCCCUACCAUGCUCAAAGACUUCCGCCCAAUUGCUCUCAUCCACAGUUUUGGCAAGUUGUUCGCCAAAUGCCUUGCUAGGCGCCUUGGGCCAAGAAUGAAUGAGAUGGUUGCGCACAACCAAAGUGCUUUCAUCAUGAAUAGAGCUAUACAUGACAACUUCAGAACAGUUCAGCUUGCGUGUCGAUGGCUUUAUUCCAAGAAAUUUCCGUCACUACUACUCAAGGUCGAUAUUGCCAAAGCAUUUGAUUCAGUAGGCUGGCCUUUCCUCCUAGAAGUACUGCAACACCUUGGCUUCCCCGUCGAUACUUGGACUGGAUCUCCAUCCUCCUGUCUACUGCCAGCACCCGUGUGCUUGUCAAUGGAAGGCCGGGACGUCGGAUCUCCCACGCGCGGGGGCUGCGCCAGGGUGACCCCAUUUCCCCGAUGCUAUUCGUGCUCGUUAUGGAGGUACUGAAUUCGCUCAUCAAGGAGGCUGACCGGCGUGCUGUGCUGUCGCCGCUACCAGGCCAAGUCGUCGUGCACUGAGCCUCACUCUAUGCAGAUGACCUUGUCAUAUUGUUGGCACCACAGGUGGACGACCUCGUUUGCCUGACGCAGAUCCUACAGCUGUUCGCGGGCGCCUCAGGACUUGUCAGCAAUCCCGACAAGUGCAUCGCCACGCCUAUCUGUUGUGAUGAUGAUAUGAUCCAAGCUGUCCAGGCAGCGUUUCCGUGCACGAUCUCUAACUUCCCUUGCAAGUACCUCGGCGUUCCUCUAUCGCUUAGACGUCUGUGCCGUGCUGAUGAGCAACCUUUGAUCGAUGCGGUCGCUGCAAGAAUCCCGACCUGGAAGGCGGGGAUGCUAACAAAUGCAGGGAGGGUCACUCUAACCAGAUCCACCCUGUCAGCCAUCCCCAUUCACCUGAGCAUCGCCUGCUGCCUAUCAGCCUGGGCCAUCUCUCAGAUUGACAAAAGGAGGCGCGCCUUUGUCUGGACUGGCAAUGACUCUUGCAGUGGUGGGAAUUGUCGUUUGGCUUGGCCUGCUGUGUGCCGGCCGACUGACCUUGGUGGCCUUGGGUUAAUUGACCUGCGAGUUGCUGGUUAUGCGUUAAGGCUACGAUGGGAGUGGCUAUCUCGUUCCGAGCCACGACGUUGCUGGACGUCGCUGCCGUCGCGAACAGAGCCGUGCGUCGCCGCGAUGUGCGCGGCCAGCAUCACUGUGGCGGUUGGCGACGGCGCAUCGGUGCGCUUGUGGACCGACUGCUGGGCUUCGGUCGGGCCGCUACACAGGUUUGCGCCAUCCCUUUUCGCGGCGACGUCGCGUACUGGGAGGAAGCGAACGCUAAGGGAAGCUGUCCUCGACAACCAGUGGGCACGCGAUGUCUCUGGUGCCUUGACUGUACAGGUCCUGCGUGAGUACCUGCAGGUCUGGGAAAUCCUGCGCUCUGUUCAGCUCCAGGUUCAUCUGCCAGAUCGCUUCAUCUGGAAGUGGUCCGCGGACGGCACGUACUCAGCUUCCUCGGCAUAUCGUGCAUUCUUUGCCGGCUCCACCAGGUUGCUCGGCGCCAAAGAGCUCUGGCAGACCAAGGCGCCACCAAAGAUUAAGAUGUUCUUCUGGCUUGCCCUACACCGGAGGCUCUGGACCGCGGAGCGACGCAAGCGCCAUGGCCUGCAAAUCAAUGACGAUUGUGCGCUCUGUGAUCAGCACGCCGAGACAGUGAGCCAUCUGUUUUUGGCUUGUAUUUUCGCUCGCCAGGUUUGGUUCGGCGUCCUUGACCGUCUUCAAAUGGUCAACUUGAUGCCAUCCGGUGAUCACGAGCUAGGUGAUUGGUGGAUCGAUCUGCGAAAGCGGCUUGACGUGGACUCACGAGGGCUGUUCGACAGCCUGCUACUUCUAAUUUCUUGGAGGUUAUGGAAGGAACGCAACGCGAGGGUAUUUGGGCGCGCACCGUCUUCUGUGCAUGAGGUAGUCGCCGCGAUCGCCGCCGAGGGUGAGGAGUGGGCGUCCGCAGGCUAUGCGCCGCUGCUGGCCCUACAAGUUCUCUGGUCGCAAAAUCAGGGCCAUAUGUAAUUAGUUUUUUUCCGCGUUCCAGUAGAAGUAGGUCUUCCUGGUGGGUGUUAGGCUGCUCGCCUGCGCCUUGCUCGUGUAAGGCUUGUGUACCUUGUUGCUCUUCCUCUUAAUGAAAAACGGGCACAAACCCGAUCGCGAAAAAAAAAAAACCAUUCAAUACUACUGUCUACUGUAGCUAGGUGACUAGAUUCGUGCCUUUUGGUGUGGUCCUGUACAAACUAAUACUUUUGCAAAAGGAUUGUGGUCCUAUUCAAACAAACUCUUUUGCAAAAGUAUAGUUCAACGGAAAAGCCCCAAACUUGGUAUAUUGUUCAUCACAGUGGAGUCGUACGUGGAAAACUCUUUGUGCCCGUUGACAAAUGGAUAUAGAGUACGUACGGUAAAGUUCAUGCACAUAUGCAGGUCGCAACAAGGAGCACAAUCCGGCUCAAGAUUACGGCGCCGAUUAAUUCGUGCGAAGUGAUCUGGCUCGAUCGAGAAAGCCAGUAAACUGAUUGCUCGUGUGACGUCAGCAUCGAUUGCCCAAUGAAAUCUGGCAAUCAGUAACGGCCUUGUUUGGAAAUAUUAGUGAUAAAUAUUACUAGCGGAAGCAAGCAAUCAGCUAAUACUCCAUUCGCUCUAAAUUAUAAGACAUUUUGACAUUUCUAGAUGUAUAGCUUUUGCUAUGCACUUAGAUACACACUAUAUCCAUAAAAACGCCAGCAUCUGCAUGAAGUUGAGGAUUUGAACUUGGAUGGACAGACUUUACCAUAAGAAACCUAACUAACUGAUUUAUUAGUGGACUAUAUUAGGUAACUUAUUUGAGUCAUGUUUGUAUCACUCUAUCAAUACUAGUACUUAAUUUGGGGAAGGCAGUUAAUAAUUUUAUUAGAAAGAUAGUUCAUGUUUAUAUCUAUCGGUGCUAAUUUUAGCUCCUACUCAGUUAACACUAAUAGUAUAUCUAAAUAGGUCCUUAGAAUACUAAUGGUUAACUAAACUGACCUAUACCGGCAGGUGGACGAGCCAGCAGUCAUCAUCCACUGACCACCAUAUACAACAUACCAGGAGUAUAUAUCUGUAAAACUAAGUUUUCAUGUACCAAUUAAGGGUAUGUUUGGAUGAGUUAAAGCUAGUUAUUAGUUGGCUAAAAGUUAGCUUAAAUUAGUUAAGGUUAUCUAGCUAAUAGUUAACAACUAGAUGAAGAUUUAGUUAAAAAAUAAACUUAGCUCACCUUCCCAUUUGAACGCACUAGUGUCAAUUAGCUCUCGUAUCAAACAGAUACGAGAAUUGAUAAAAAAGACUAAGGCCCUGUUUAGAUUGGAGAUAAAAAAAAUUUGGGUGUCACAUCGGAUGUGUCAGAAGAAUAUUGGGAGAGGUUUUAACAAACUAAUAAAAAAAUAAAUUACAUAGCUCGUCUAGAAACUGCAAGACAAAUCUAUUAAGUAUAAUUAAUCUGUCAUUAACAAAUGUGGGUUAUUGUAGCACUUAAGGCUAAUCAUGGACUAACUAGGCUUAAAAGAUUCGUCUCGCGAUUUUCAACCAAACUGUGUAAUUAGUUUAUUUUUUAUCUACAUUUAAUGUUUCAUGCAUGUGUCCAAAGAUUCGAUGGGAUGGAUGAAAAUUUUCUGGGUGGAGAACUAAACCGGGCCUAACCAAUCUGGUGUGCAAGAGAAAAUGUAGAAGACCGAUCGAUGUGCAGCAUGGUUUAAAGUUUAAACUGGUUCGUUAGAUGCGCAAAGUGUCGAGACCUUUUUUGCAAGAUCGUCAUCAUCGCAGUGCGGUGUACAGGCGGACUCCACCGUACCGCUGCAGACCACAAACCACUAGCUAGCACAACGCAACGACAAAACUGCUCCAUCACUCGGGCCGCCUACAUAUAAAUUUCUCGACCUGUGCCGUGCAUGUAAUCCAAGCAACAAUCGAAGCUGCCACAGCACAAAGAAUUCCACGACGUACGACGACACCAAGCCGGCCGGCCGACGAUUGAGACGAGAAGUGGCCGGACGGCAGCUGCACGAACGAACAGCCGAACAGCAGAUGCAAACGUGCACUCCCAUGGCGUCCAGCUCGAACACGCUGCUGAAGGUGGUGCUCUGCGCCGUGCUCCUCCUGUCGUCCACCACGACCGCCGUCUCGCGCGGCCACUGCGAGCCUGCUGACGACGACGACGACCAUCGCGGCGGAGUGGUGGUGGUGGCGACGAUCACCGGGCGGAGAAUGCUCGUGGCGGAGAGCGGCGCCGCGAGCUCGCUGGCGGCCACGACAACAACGACUGCCGUGAGCGUGCCGCGGCUCACUCGCAAAGAAGCGGCGGCGGCGUCGUACUCCGGAUCGAAGAGGCAGAGCCCCGGCGGGCCCGAUCCUCAGCACCAUUAAACCCCUCCCCUCGCGCUGUUGACUGCUUUGGCAUGGUAACUCCGUGAGUUACGUUUUUGUACUUCGUACGUGAUGAUGUACGCGCGUAAAUAAAUCGCAGCAUUCACCGCUGAUGAUGCAAGGGUCGCAUCUCGCAUAGAAAAAUUUGUACUACUACUUACUACUCCUUCCAUUUCAAAUAUAAGUUGUUUUUACUUUUGUCUAGAUAUAUAGCAAUUUUGAUGUAUUGAAAAAGCCAAAUGACUUAUAAUUUGGAACUGUGAGGGUACUUUAUUACCAGUCCGAAAAAUUGUACACUACUUACUUUUUUUAGGGGAAUUUGUACUGCUUACUAUUACUACUUGAUGGGAUGGGCCUGCUGGCUCAGAGGCCCAGGAAGUAAGCCCACCAGACGGUUUUUCAAAAAAAAAAAAACAUGUAUAAUUUCAUUUCUCACCAAGAGGCCGAAGAAAAUGAGUUUGACGCAUACUGACAAAGUUCAUCCAAUAUAAUUACCAGGCACACGAGACAACGAAACAAAUCAUUACAUUACAACAUACUAGUGAUAAAGGCAAACAAACCCGCUUGUAUUAUUGAUUUUUUUUGAAUUAAAUUAUUGAAAUUUUUGGGUAAAAGAAUGGAGCUGAAACAAAUACAACAGACUAAACACUACUGCAUGAAUUAUGCUCCCAUAAACAAAAGACACAUCCAGAACAUUCCAUGGACAGAAGAACGCAGACGCAGAGUUCCCAAUUUUUUUUUAAUUAAAACAAACAUUAGAAAGUUCCCAGACUUGAAGCCGUCGUCGUAGUCGUCGUCUUGCCAUGAUGCAUGAGCCUUCACUCGUGGUCCUCGAACGACUUGGCCGGGUUGUCGGGGUCCAUGUCGCCGAAGAGCGGCAGGUCGGCCGGCAGCGCCUCCAGGCUGAGGUUGGCGUCCUUGAGCGCGAACACCACCUCCUCGAACAGCACCCGGUUGCCGCGCGGCGUCAGGUGCAGCCCGUCCCUUCACAAUUUACCACGCAAGAAAUGGCCAAGUUUGAUUUGAGUUCAGUUGUCUCUGGAGUCUGGAGCGCGAUCGAGCACUGAGGAGGAGGCAUGACAUGACUGUGAGUGCGUGCGGCGUACGGUACCUGAGGAACGACUUCUCCCAGCCAUGGAACCUCUGCAUCCUGGACCAGACGUCGAUGGCCCUGAGCCCACACUGCCGCGCCACCUCCAGGCACGCCUUCGCGUACAACCCCGCCGCCGCGUUGGUGCGCUCCGGCAGGCCGGAGAAGUCGUGCGCGUACGGGUACCUGCAUUCGCCGUGUUCCGUGCUAUCAGAAUGAUUGCUGCCGUCGGCGGCGGUCACCUAUGCCGAUCGACGGUGCCCAAGCGCAUGCAGGCGUGGUACGAAAGAAGCUAAGAACAUCGAGAUCGAUCACUCACCGGAGACGCCCGUCCUCGUCCACCGGCGGCGGCGUGAUGAGGAUGACGACCACCGACGGCCACCGCUUCUGGGGGAAAAAAAAAACAGAGCAAGAGGAUGAACGACGCAGAGUUAGUGUCAGUGCCGUGCCGUGCCGUCGUUUCGGAAUGCAGGUUGAGCUCAUGAUCGAACUGGUGGUUUCACACCUUGAGGAGCGCGCAGAUGGCGCGGAGGUUGUCCUUGUACUCGGCGAGGGGCACGUGCUGGAGCGCGCAGGCGCGGUCGGGCAGCGCGGCGUCGUUGGCGCCGAAGAAGACGGUGACUGCCGAGACGGGGCCGGCGAUGCUGGCGACGGCGCGGCCCGCCACACGCGCCGCCCAGCGCGUGUUGUAGCCGCUGUAGCCGCGCAGCACGACGUCGGCGGAGCGGGAGUAGUGGUUCGCAAGCGACGCGCCCCAGCCGCCCUCCCCGAACGCCUCCUCCGUGAUGGAGUCGCCGAACAGCACGAUCGACGGCCUCAUUUUUUAUUUAUUUUUUUUAUUCCCCCCGGCUGCUCGUGUGUUCGUGCCGAUGGACAGGGGCAGGAUAGACCAGCAGAUCGACGCCGCACUGGUGGUUGCUUAACGCUUGCUCUGGAGUGUGGCCCGUCAUGGUAUGUGUGGGUUUAUAUAGAAGGACACGCAUGCAGGCGACGGCGAGAGUCGGCGACGCAACGUCUGAGAACGUCGUCGUUUCCCGGGCAGCGAUGUCGGUUCGGGUAGAGACGGCAGCGCGGUGGACGUUCAGGCGGGAGGUGCUGGCGUCAUCUGGUGCGUGCCGGCCCGGGUGGCGCCAAGCCGGCCGCCAAGCCAUGCAUGCAGCAGCGCCGCGCGCGUCGAUGUCGGCGGCAUGGCAUGGCAUGGGAUGGCAUGGCUCCCGAGGCCCGAGUGGGGUGGGGAGUCACGCGGGGUUGGACGCUUCGGCGAGUGGGCCCAGCUUUGUCGUCUGGGCUUGAACAGGGGGGGCGCAGGGAUUCCGGGGAGGUGCAUGCACCGGGGUCCGGGGGGGAGACGGUGGGCCGGCCCGGCCGAAGGCGGUUGAGCCCGUUCACAGCGGUCAAAGUCCGGAGGCACUGGCUGCGCAUGGCUGGAUGCCUGGAUCGUCGUCGUGACCACGCGCCACGACAAAGUGACGGCAGGCCUCGGCUGCGAGCGCGCUACGUGCCAGCCCGGCUCCGCCAAGCCGUUGCCAGUGGACGUACCAGGCCGGAGAAGGGCAUGUUUGCAGCUUGCACCCAGGCCCAAUAAACGGAUCGGCCUUCCGUUGGGAGAUAAUCUGUAGGAAAAAAUCUACAUUUUCUCUUAACUUUUUGCGAAGUAUAUUUUUAUAAACUCUAAAACCAGAUAAAAACAUCUCUUUUAACUUUUAAAAACCAUUCAUAUUAACUUUCUAAUCCUGUUAUAAGCAGUUUUAUCUUUUUCUUUUUAUUUAUUUUAACUGGAUAUUUGAAAAAUCAUAGUAAAUAAAAAAAAUCAUAAAAUAAGAAAUCCAAUUUUGUUAGAUUCCACAAGAGAGUAGAUCAUGGACAACGAACAUGGACAGGCUUCGACAAUGCCACCUUUUCUUUACUAGGUAGCGACGAGGCGAGGAGCCACACCGCAUACUCUGAUCAUGAAUCUUGAGUUCAGGACACGCCAAGGCACACAAAGCCGGUGAGCCGCGUCGCAGCGCAUAGACUCACCGCGCAUAGACACGGGACACGAUGGUGGAAACCAGACAGGGCUCCACAACGACGACAUCUUGGUUCUUGCCUUCUUGAAAUUGUGAUCAUUGAUCAGUUGUUUCAGUUCAUGUCUAGGCCUUAGGUAAAUUUUCUUCUUGUUUAUUUUUGAAUUUGAAUUAAUUAUUUGUAUGAUAUUCUAGACUUCUAGUAUUUUGUACUCAUAGUCAUUGUUUUUCUUCUAAUUUAAGUGUUAGAUUUAAAAUAUAUUAUUGGAUUUUUUUGUUUUGCAAGUAAAAUUAGUAUCUAUACAUUUUUAGAUUUUAUACAUGGUCUAGUGGGAUUGUCGCGACAAGUUCACCAGAGGCCCUUAGUGACUAAUCGUCUCCAACCAAUACACCAAGUGACCAAGCUGGUUACUCCCUCCAUCCUAAAAUAUAAAGUAUUUAGAAAGUUUAGAACAAAUUAUGAGAUAACAUAAAUGAUGUAGGUAUCUCUCCCUUAACUAGAAAUUUUUUUUGUGCUAUUAUAUUUUAAGUCUGAUAGUAAACACUAAUAGCAAGUAUGCAUGUAAUUAUACCUUUUAAGAAGUUUAUUCGCCUAGAAUGUUUUAUAUUUUAAGAACAAUUUUUAAAUGCAUCAGUACCAUAUAUUUCAAGAUGGAUGAAGUACAACUAGCAGGGUUUAGCAGCGACAACCGUCACACACUCUGAGUCUAGAGACCCAGAACACUGAGGACAGUACAUCAUGUACAUGCACCGUUUAAGAACGUGUCAUGCUCGUAAAGCCAUGUCCCGCAGGGAAGGCAAACAAACAAAUUAACGAACGGAAAAGGCCAUGUGUGUGUACGUGCACGGGAAUAAAAAGUAGCAUGGACCAGCGAGAGAGACGGCAACCCACCGGUACGGUGGCGCAGCGCGCCCGGCAGGGCUAACCACCCGGAAAACUCCAACUCACCAACGCACUAACAUGCUCACAGGUCACAGCAGGUUUAGAUUCUAAAAUAUUUUAUAAAAGUUUCAAGAUUUUUUGUCACAUCAAAUCUUACAACACAUAUAUAGAACAUUAACUAUAGAUAAAAAAUAACUAAUUAUAUAGUUUAUUUGUAAUUUGCAAGACGAAUCUUUUAAAUUUAGUUAGUUCAUAAUUAAACAAUAAUUAUUAAAUACAAAUUUUUUACUAAUAAACAGCUCCUCGCUCCCACAACACUUAUGAAAUAUACAUAGAGCCGUAGCAGCCGCGGCAGCCCCAGCCCCAUGCCGAAAGCAAGGGAGCGAGGGGUGCUUGCUCCCUCAUUAUUUGGCCGGAACAGCACGUCGAAGAGGACGAGUCAGCACCAGGUCAACUUCAUCAUCAUAUCUCAGUUAUGAUAGCAAGGAUUAAGGAAACUUGAGAAGCUAUCCAUCCUUCAGAGAAAUUAAAGGACGACGGCAGCUGAUUAGGCAACGGUGCCCCGGCAGUUUGCGUUGCUGGCUUUUGUCAGGGACUUGAUUCCAAUCGCGCGGUCAGAUACGUGCCAGCCGGCUUCUGUUCUCUGCCAGCAUCGCCAUCCUUUUGUCGGUGUGGCCUAGGCUGCAGGUAACCGCUACCGUCGUACAACAAUUGUUUUUUUUUUGAAGAAAGUCGUACAACAAUUGUUGUAUCACCAUUAAGCUCUGUCUCAAGCUUGAGCGUGUUAAGAGGGUUGAGUUGAGCCUUGGAACCAAUCGAACCUAAAGUUAGGCUCAAAUUUGACUCAUUUAUAAUCCGUGUCAAUCUCAAGUUCAGUGUAAGACAAACCAAACACAAGAAAUUCAAUAUUGGCAUAGAUUAUAAACUAGAAUCAGAAAUCAUUUCUCACCUGCUUUUUAUCACAAUCAGAAGGUAAAAGCUCUGCUUAAUAGGUCAUAAACAGUCAAAUAUUGACAUUUGGAACACUAACACCUUUUCAGUUAAGAGAGUAGUUGAAGGGACAUUUGGACUACACCUCGCACACAGAUGGUUAUGGAAAUCCUCUUGUCAGAACAAACAUAACGUGUUUUUCUAGCUGCUGAUCAAAGACAGACUAAGCAUAAGAGAGUUUUUAAGAAGAAAGCGUAUGGAACUUGAGGACUACAUGUCUACAUGUGCAUCUUAAGUAGAGAUUCAUAAGAAGAAUCAUCAUUGCAACUUUUUUUUUCUGGAGUGCCCCUUUGCCACCCAAUGUUGGAGCUGGCUCAGCCUUCAGAUUGACCAUGAGUUAGAUCCUUUACAAAUCAUACAGUCCCUUAGAUCUCAACUGUAAUUGCCUUUCUCCAUAGAGAUCAUCAUUCUGAUGUGUUAGACGAUAUGGAAGGCUAAAAAUGAUUGGAUCUUCCGUUAGAUACCUCCAAGCAUGCAGCCAUCAAACGAUAGUUUCAGGGAUGAAAUGAUUUAUCUUUCCCUGAGAGUUAAGAGAAGGUUUCAAGCUAUUUUAGAACAAUGGAUAAACAGUCUCUCUUAGCUUGGUUCAACUCAGUGUUGAGCUACAUUUUCUUUCUUAACUUCUUUGUUUUCUAGAAGCCUUCUUUAACUCUUUCUAUUUUCUUUUUUUUCUUGCUUUCACGUGUAAACCUCCUUUUCGUUUAAUAAAAUUUUCCUGUAGGGGUGCAAACCUCCUCCAAUUUCCUAAAAAAAAGACGAAAACGAGCCUAACACGACACAGAGUGCACUUACGAACCAAACACGGAUAGCUCAUCACAAAUCCACCCUCCUCUUUCACUCGACAACACCAAUCUCCCUCCCCCCAACCCAUGGGCGGAUCUAUAUAGAGGGUUGUGGGUGCGGGUGCACCCACAAAAAUAUCAAAAAAUAGUGAUUAUGAUCAAAUUUUCACCAUAUUUGCACCCACAUAGAAAAAUCCUACGCACCCACAAGGCAAGCGCACCCCUCUCAUAUUUGCUCUAGCUCCGCCACUGCCCCAACCUCAGUCUCCUCGUCCAAUUCGUCUUACUUUACUGUACACACCUUCACCUUGUGGAGUCAAAAGUGGACGUGACGAGCUCGGCCUAUCUUGUUCGUUGAUUUCACGGCAUCUUCUGGAAGGCCGUCAUCCGUGCUAGCACGCCCAAAGUGCGUUGUGGAUGGGCAACUCAUCCACGGCGGAGAUACAUGACGAUUCGGUGAAACACAGCAUCGUACACCCUCAUCAGUUUGCCUCAUCGUACCCUGCACGGCUGCACGCAACACAAAAAAGCGGAGAGUUGCACCAAAAAAUCAAAAAAAAAAUCAAGAUUUCUUGUACAUCGAAUCUUACAAUAUAUGUAUAAAACAUUAAAUAUAGAUAAAAAAUAAUUAACUGCAUAAUUUAAUUAUAAUUUGCGAGAUGGAUCUUUUAAGCCUAGUUAUUCUAUAAUUAAACAACAAUUAUCAAAUACAAACAAAAAUGCUACAAUGUCUAAAUUCAAAAAGAUUUAGGAAGGCCUUAUUGGCGCUCGGGCGGAGGACAGGGAAGAAUUAAGGUAGGCCUUAUUAGUAGUUUAUAACAUCUUUAGCAAAUGAAAAAACAUGUUACAGUAGGUAUCAGAUAAGCUCAAGAUAUGGCAGUGGCCCCACUUUGCCAUACCGACAGCUCCGCCACUCCGCUCGCGCUAGCCAAUCGUCUCUGAACCUGCUGUUAUUAGUCCAAUCACACACGGAAGACCUCGUGUGAGAAACUGUGAUGGUGCAGUGGUGGACUGGUGGCUGGCUGCAUGGGCUGGGCGGCUCUCUGUGUAUCACCGGGUUGGCUGCCGAGAUCGCGUGUUCGCUGGUCGAGCAAUGGGAGUCCGGACUCCGGGCUUUCGAUCGAGGGAAACAUGCAGAAGUGAAACGCUCAGCAGCAGAGACCAGAGAGCCCGGCCUAGCGUGGCGUGCGCCCCCGUCUCUCGGCUUCGCUGGCGCAACAGCGACGGAGAGCUGCUUCUGAGGUGUUGAUGGAGGACGGCGCCUUUAUGAUUCGGCGAUCAGAUCCGGUACCGUCGGAUCCAACAUACGCCGGCGUCUUUUUAGUUAAGAGUAUUAGUCGAGUUCGGAGUCCUAUCUGAUUUCUUAUAAGACUUUCCUGUUGGUGUUACAGUGUUUAGUCAGUCAGAACCAGGCCGUGUGCCGUGAGUUCGUUGCUCGUGCUGACACGCUUGGGCCUUAUUUAGUUGUAAAAAGAUUUUAGAUUUUGAUACUGUAGCACUUUCGUUUAUAUUUAAUAUUAAUUGUCAAAUUAUAGACUAACUAGGCUCAAAAGAUUCGUCUCGUAAAUUACAGAUAAACUGUGUAAUUAGUUAUUGUUUUCGUCUCUAUUUAGUGUUUCAUGCAUGUACCACAAAAUUCGAUGUGAUGGGAAAUCUCUAAAAGUUUUUGAAUUUCAGGUGAACUUGUUUUGUUUAGCGACGGCCGCGACGAUGCAUGAGCCUUUUUGUUCGAUUCGUUGUGGAUGAGGCUGUCUAUCAUACUCAAAUCAAGAAAGGGAGAAGAUUCCGGUAGCGCGCCAUGAACUCAUGAUGUUAAACGUGACUGACGACUGGUCAUCAUGACGCUGAUGCCGGGCGUUGACGUGCUGCUGACUGCUGACACGCCUCCUCUGCUUGCCCGUCGUCCAUAUCUUGGCCGGUAAUUUUUGUUCCAAAAUAAUAAUAGUAUGGCCUUGUUUAGUUCUAAAAUUUUUGACAAAAUAUGAAUAGUAUCAAUUUUAUUUAUAUUUGACAAAUAUUGUCUAAUUAUAGACUAACUAUGCUCAAAAGAUUUGUCUCGUCAAUUUCGACCAAACUAUGUAAUUAGUUUUUAUUUUCGUCUAUAUUUAAUACUUCAUGCAUACAUCUAAAGAUUCGAUUAGAUGGAGAAUCUAAAAAAUUUUAUAAAAUUUUUUGGUAUCUCGUUAGGCCAACGGAAUAAACUAAGUUCAGUACGACGUCGUGGCAUAAGCAGCCGGUGCGUUCGUGCGGGGGCAGUCUCGGUCUCGCGGAUAAGAACAACCUUGAGGUCUUGUUUAGUUUCGAAAAAUUUUGGAAAAUAGACACUAUAGUACUUUUGUUUGUAUUUGACAAAUAUUGUCCAAACAUAGACUAACUAGGCUCAAAAAAUUCAUCUCGUCAAUUCCGACUAAACUGUGCAAUUAGUUUUUAUUUUCGUCUAUAUUUAAUACUCUAUGCAUGCGUCUAAAGAUUUGAUGUGACGAGGAAUGUGAAUAAUUUUGCAAAAUUUUAUGGGAACUGAACAAGGCCUGAAAUCUACUCUCUGUCUUUCGCAGGAUCGUAGGCGAAACAGAGAGCUUUCCAUGACAACAAAAUGCAAAUCUAAACACUGACGAAUUCGCCACUUGGUCGUAUAAAAACCUCGAUUACUAGUUAACUCUCACUUAUUAGUCAGCACAUAAAGCGUACGUCUAAGUCUAAUCGAAUGCACUCGACGUCAGUCCUGUACGGCCGGGUUGGAUGAGGCUUAAAGCGACUCAAAUCAGCGGACGUCACCAUGCAUCUUAUGGUUAGGUAACAUGUUACUGCCAGUCAUUCUCAUUCACGGCUCUGAACUGACGUGCAAACUGUCCGGCUUUUCAGCCUUCAGCCCCCUGUCUGCGUGGUGGCACUAAGGGUCUAUUCGGUAGAGAUGUGAGCGGUAAAAAAAAAACUAUUUAUGAGCUAUCUGUUGUGAAAAAACUGAGUUGUAUCGUUGAAAUAAGUGAACCUACUCCUCUCUCUAUGUCUCUCUAUUUUUAUCCAUUUCAAAAAGCUGAAAGCCAAAACACAAAAGCUGGAGUCCAAUACUCCAAUGUGCUACCGAAAUUAUACUCCACGAAAGCAGCUGCUUUUGUGUAAAAGCAUAUUCAUGCUUCGCCUGUUUGAUUGGCUUUCUAUUUAAGCAGCAGAAGCACGUUUAGAAAAUUCAACCAAACAUGGCUUGAGAUAUAUAAUGCUCCUUUUAACUGGUUCGUUUUUUAUCGCAUAUUCAGUAGUUUCCCCCACUUCUGUCAGUUUGCAUGCAAUCAGUUGCCCAUGUUCCUGACGCCAAUAGGCCAACGACUGGAUUACCCAAUUGCAUAUGCAAGUACAAAUAAACUGAACAAAUUAAAAUAGACGACGCCUCAUGUUCAUGCAUAUGUUUGGUGGGAAAAAUGGGCUGGCACAUCUGAAUGAUGUGUCUCCCUCCUAGAAAAAAGAAAUUAAUGAAAUACAUUUCAUAUUUUGAUGCAUGAUGCUGCCUGCUCCAUAUAUAAACUUUCAGUAGUACUUACAAUUUAUUUCUGAACAAAGUUUUUCAGUAUACUUUUACCUAAUAUGAAACAAUACAAAGCAUGUACUGCAUAACUAUAUAGAGGCCCAACCAACAUCCUAACUGAACUUCAUCCCGUACAUUGGAACCGAAUUAUUGCUGCAAGCAUAACAUUCAUAUUAGGUACUCUGCAAAACAAUCCAAACUCCAUUUUCAUCACACGAACCAGAAAAAUUCAGGCGACACAGUUCAGUACGCACCAAACCAAAAACACAAGAGUGGUUGCUUCCGGCACACUCCGCUCCAACUCCAGCCUCCACCCCAAAUCCGGGCGUUAGAAAAAAGCGAAACGAAUCAAAUCAGGGGCGUUAGCUCCCUCUCGCGCCGGAGGUUAUGUUGGAAGGUUCGGGCGUUCGCUUGCAAGACACAGCACCACCACGCACGUCGCCGGCCGGUCGACAACGACGGCUCGCGCUCUUUGGCAUCUCGAUCGUCGCAUUAGUCCACGGCGGAAUUGAUCGACCGGUGGUCGUGCUGGAGCACCCUGUCGGCUUGUUUGCAGAUGAUGAAGGCCUCCUCCGCGUACGUACCUGCUCCGUGUCCUAAUUCCUAAAGCUAGCGGCGGCUCGAGUUGUUGGGGUUCCUUCCUCAUCUCAUCGUUUGGUGGCUUAAUUGGCAGUGCGCGUAUAUGCAUGCAUGUACACUUGUACAGGCCCCAAUUAUCGAUUCCGGAGGAUGUAACCGAUUAAACAAGUACAGUAGUGCAAUUGUUUAAGGAGUAGAUGUCGAUCCUGUGAUGAUGUGUAUGAAAUGCUUUCUUGGAAUGUGGGACAGAUGAUGAAGCAACACGGAACCAGGGUCGUCAAAAGAUGAGCUAGCUUUGUUUGACGUCGGUCUCAGAUAUACUAUAUACUUCCUCAUGGUCAAUUGGUCAUGGAUGAGCUGGCCAUGCGGAUAAUCUUGUUAAAAUACUACGUUCUUCCCAAGUUGCUGAUUUUUUUGCUAGAAAUAUCUAAUCUAGCUGCUGAAAAAUCUGAGUACUGAUGCUCUUCAUUCAGUUGCCUACCUAUUCUUGAGGUUGACAGAGAAGUCACAACACUGUGACUGACAGCAGCCGAUGCUUGAUCCAAAGUCCUGAAUCCAACAGUCUGACGAUAUGCAUGAUAUGAUAAUCCGUUAAUUUGGUUACAGUUAAACACAAUUCUCUCUCUGUGUGUGGAUAAUAACGGACUGCAACUGCAUCGCCGGCAUUGGCAUGGCCUACACGGUGCCAAGUUCGCUGAGGAAUUGACAUGGCGCCCGCCCGCCUCUGCCUGCUCGCCUGCUGCUAAUAGUAGCUGUAGUGCGUGUCCCUUCCUUGCACCAUGUUAUGGGAGUUGUUGAGCCCUAGCUUUUCUUUUGACGUUCAGGUGUAGGUGUCAUGGGAGAUUGAUCGAGCACUACAACUACAAAUGUAACGACGAACCACCAUUGUUUUUUUUUCUUAACUGUAAAGUCAUAUCAAAUGCUACAUAUAUAGCUAGUUUAUAUCGUGGCAUUUGAUAGAGUGUUGGCCAUCCUGUUGUGACAAGGCUGUUUGACCUGCUACUUGUUGCCUGAACCGGGAAAGCAGGAUAAGAAAGCAAACAAGGUAACGUCUAAUUGACACAACACAAGCACAACCAGUGCUGUUCAGCUGGCUGAUGCAUCCAGUUAUAGGAGUCUAGGAGCAGUCUUCAGGCAGCUUUUCCGUUUCAAAACUAGCACAGCUUUUUGGGCCAUAAAUCCAAACAACUACUACUUGCGAAAUAAUGUGAAACCAUGUAAUAUAUAUGAACUCGAUGAUGCUAUCUCCAUGACAGACUCUGGCUACCUAAUCAAGCUCUCAAAAAAUCUGUUUGGUAGUUAAACUAAGUCAAACUCAACUGAAAGCGCUGCAACAUUUAUGAGUGGCAACUGAUUUUCGCAGUUUAAGACUAUCUCCAACAAUUGUUACCCAAAAUACAAUAUCCAUUUGUCCUUUGGGUAGCGCUACAGGUAAAAGGUUCCAUACCUAUUUUUAGUCUUCUCCAACAACAAGACCUAAAAGACAACACUCUCUGCAAAUAGGUCUCAAGGAGAGAGGAUACCCAAAUUUGGGUUAUGCCUCUCUUGAUACCCAAAAUGGGUCUUCUGUAUGGGUACUCUGUUGGAGUCUAUAGGUAUUGUGUGUUGGAGACCCAUUUUGGGUUUGGGUUCCCAAAUGGGUCUCCCAUUGGAGACAGCCUAAGAAAAAUGUAUGCUAAUGAAGAACAAGGUGGGAGCAGACAGUUUCAUCUCAGAGUUUCUAAGCUUUAGUAUUUGCAAAAAGAACUCAGAAAUCCAGAGCAUCAAAGCUACCCAAAAGGGUAUUUCUACUUGUAUGAGGUGUCAGCUACAUAGAUUAUACAAGUUAGUGGAAAAUGAUUAGGGUAAAGCCAAAGGUGUUAGUUUUCAGUAAUGAAAUGGCUCCUACUAGACAAGCAUCAAACAUAGCUGGUCCAACACUCCAACUUGUACAGUAUACUAUACACGCUCCCAUGCUUCAUACUCAUACUACCUUCAAUCAUCUUGCUUUUAUUGGACACUGAUUAGGAACAGGAGGAAAUGUCUAACCCACAUUUUCAUGCCCCCAUUUAACUACCCUUUCUUGUAAGCAGCAGCAUCUAUUACCAAAAUGAUCACGACAAAUAACACCACUCCUUUUUUAGCUUUUUUGAAACAGAUACAAUAUUCAGAAAAGAUCUAUAUAUGUUCUCAUCAUUAAGUAAAAGGGCACAAACUAGAGUCGAAAAUGACUCGGACCGCGAUGAUGUUACACUUGAGCCAUCUCAUACCUGAAAUAUACAAACUUCUUCUCUAAACAAAAGAUACAUCUUAAAAACUGGACAGGGGUUACCAAAAGCAGAGCAAGAUUUGAUACUGAUAUUAUGAUAAAACACGAGGAAAAAAAACACUCUACAACUGGUAGAAUACAAAGGAAAAGACGGAAGAAAAGCAGAAGUUUCCUCCAAUGAGGAAGAAAAACACGAACAGAAACAAAAAAUAAAUAAAAAGCAGCCCAUGCAUGCACAACAACCGAAGUAGACUGACACGAGGUGGGCUAAUGGCGCAACAGCUACGUCCCAACCCACGCCAUUGACGCCCUCUAUAUAAGCCGGGAGCCCCCUGCAAACAUGAUCAUCAGCCACAGCCAAUAAGUAUAAGCGCGGAUCGAGCUAGCUAGCUAGCCAGCUCGGAGUCGGAGCACGCCUAGACACCACCAGGCUAGCAGCAAUGGCGGCUCGGCUCGCCGUCGCGUUCCUCGCCGUGUCCUCUGCCUUCUUGGCCGUCUCUGGCCAGAAGUUCAACGCCAUCUUCAGCUUCGGCGACUCCAUGUCCGACACCGGCAACCUGUGCGUGAACGGUCCCCCCGCCGGCCUCACUCUCACCCAGCCCCCCUACGGCGAGACCUUCUUCGGCCGCGCCACCUGCCGCUGCUCCGACGGCCGCCUCGUCGUCGACUUCCUGGGUGCGCAGAUACUCUUUCUUUUGCACGAACGUUCCCCAUUUCAAACGCGCCGCUUCCCUCCAAAAAAUGAAAAAACAGAGCACCUUACUCUGCUCGCCACUCACGUGACAUGCUGAAAUUUCUGUUUUGCUUGUUGUUGCGCAUGUAGCCGAGAAAUUCGGUCUGCCGCUGCUGAAGCCGUCGAAGCAGGGCGGCUCCGACUUCAAGCAGGGCGCCAACAUGGCCAUCAUCGGCGCCACCACCAUGGACUCUGGCUUCUUCCAGUCUCUGGGCAUCGGCGACAAGAUCUGGAACAACGGGCCCCUCAACACCCAGAUCCAGUGGUUCCAGCAGCUGAUGCCGUCCAUCUGCGGCUCCACGCAGGGUACGUACGUCGUACGUGGUGCACGACACGAUUGGCAUUCAUCAAUGUCUGCCGGCCCGCCGCCGCUCGCCAUUAAAUCCCAUGCAAGCACAGCACACAUGGUCCAUGGACCAUGGAGGAAGACGAUGAGCGAUGUGGUGGUCGCUUGCUAGCUCACUCACUCACUCACUGACGCCAUUAACUCGAUUCUCUUGGCAGCCUGCAAGUCGUACCUGUCCAAGUCGCUGUUCGUUCUCGGCGAGUUCGGCGGCAACGACUACAACGCGCAGAUCUUCGGCGGCUACACGCCGGAGCAAGCGAGCGGGCAGAGCGGCACCAUCGUGGACGCCAUCGGCAAGGGCGUGGAGCAGCUCAUCAGCCUGGGCGCCAUGUACGUGGUCGUCCCGGGGGUGCUCCCCGUGGGCUGCUUCCCGAUCUACCUCACCCUGUACCAGACCUCCAACGCCGGCGACUACGACCAGUACGGCUGCCUGAAGCGCUUCAACGCGCUGUCGGCGAACCACAACUCGCUGCUGCAGAGCAAGGUGUCGAGCCUGCAGGCCAAGUACCCAGGCGCGCGGAUCAUGUACGCCGACUUCUACAGCCACGUCUACGACAUGGUCAAGAGCCCUGGCAGCUACGGCUUCAGCACCAACCUCAGGGCAUGCUGCGGCGCCGGCGGCGGCAAGUACAACUACCAGAACGGCGCGCGCUGCGGCAUGUCCGGCGCGUACGCCUGCUCCAACCCGUCGUCGUCGCUCAGCUGGGACGGCAUCCACCUCACGGAGGCGGCGUACAAGAAGAUCGCCGACGGGUGGGUCAGCGGCGCCUACUGCCACCCGGCCAUCUCGGCCUAGAGCGAGCUCCGGGAAUCGGGGGGCUGGUUGGUUGGUGCUGGUGGUGGUGGUUCGUUAAUUUGCUGGCCGGGCCUCUCAAGUUAGGGGAAGGGGAAUCAGAUUAAUUGUAUUUGUUUAGAUGGAAUCGAAGCGGGCAAGAAGAUGAUGGAGGUGAUCAGCAAGAAAUAAUCAAUGGAAGCAUAGUAAUUCUCUCGUGUUCAUCAUGUGACACCAAUGCUAAUACCACUCGUGUAGCAUGCGAUUUUAUAAGGCUAUUUAUGCGUUGAAUUUGAAUAUAUUCGGGGGGCAUGGUGGCAUAAAAAAACCGUGCUAGUAUGAGUGAACGUCAAAGGGGUAAUCGAAUGGGAAAAAAAAAGAGCUUUGCUUUUGUUUUACAAAAGAUUGCAACCAGCUUAGCCCGAGACGUGCACCAUUUGAGUGUUGCGAAAACGCCGUGUAAAUUGUAAUCUUCAAAAGAGACUACUGCUUCAAUGGACCCUCUUUGGUCUUUGCCCUGAAAUGAGGAGAAUCUAUGAUGGGACAAAGGUUCCACAGUCUGGCUCUGGCAGACCAAAUUUUGCGGGCACCAAACUCCAAUCACUCGGCCAACCUUCAAGGCGUGCUCUGGGGACCCAAGCCCUACUUCAGUUGGCAAUUCGAAUAAUGGUGCGGCCCAGCAGGAAGUCCCGGUACUAGCGGGCCUCCCGCACGCUCGCUUUGCCGGCCGGGCCCAUGCAACCAAGGGCGGCCGAUCGCUGACGGUGAGGAGGCCCAGCUCACCGCAGCGGCGAAACGUGCCGUCCUUGGCUUCCUGUCUUCCGGGGGAACAGACGCGGGGGACCUCGUCACCAAGCGCCGGUCCGGCCGCAGCCGCACCGCGCGCCAUUGAAUCGCGCCGAUGCGACGACGAGCUCUGUUACGAGGGGAAGCGAGAUCGAGCCCGCCGCCCGGGUUUGCAUUGACGAUAUGCGAGACACACGCGCUGCCGCAACCCGAAUGCAAGCGUCCAAGCGGGCAUUAAACCGAGGCUAUCGCGAGGGUGGUUCGGCCGCCAGCCGAUCGAGGACGGCGAAGUUCUCACGGUGUCCACGAGCACGUACACGCACACACGUGGACACGCUCGAUGCAACGGGGGCCGAGACAAUAUAUAUAUAUAGCCGUGUGUGGACAUGGCCGUGUCCCGGGUCCCGGCAUUAUAUUCCUAAUCCGUCGUAAGCGGUCCGGUGUUUGGACAGACUAGAUUAGAUACAGUGUAUACGAGCACCACGCCAUGGAUCCGCGAGCUCGAGCUCUGGGCGGCGCCGUUGGCCUCUUGCUCGUCUCCUGCUUCCUCCUGGCUGGCGGCGGUGGCGUCGUCGGCGCCGGCGCCGGCCACAGCAGGUUUGAGGCCUUGUUCAACUUCGGGGACUCGCUGGGCGACACGGGCAACAUUUGCGUCAACAAGUCGGCGGCGGACAACUUCAUGCUCACUUUCGCGCAGCCGCCCUACGGCAUGACCUACUUCGGCCACCCCACCUGCCGCUGCUCCGACGGCCGCCUCGUCGUCGACUUCCUC
RNAcentral lists this long non-coding RNA (62823 nucleotides) under Sorghum bicolor (sorghum). Its description in RNAcentral is "long non-coding RNA (SBIC_LNC016887)". Lineage: Eukaryota; Viridiplantae; Streptophyta; Magnoliopsida; Poales; Poaceae. The record is from RNAcentral.